RNAcentral lists this long non-coding RNA (53034 nucleotides) under Cucumis sativus (cucumber). Its description in RNAcentral is "long non-coding RNA (CSAT_LNC001193)". The record is from RNAcentral. Lineage: Eukaryota; Viridiplantae; Streptophyta; Magnoliopsida; Cucurbitales; Cucurbitaceae.
UACAAGAGAGUAAAUAUGAACCCUAGAAUUGAGUAACCAAAAGUUUUUUUUUUCUUUUUUUUUAAUUUCUAAAAAGAAAAGGUUACUUUUUGUAAUGAGAGAAAUGUUUAGAGAAUAUUUGAUUUUGACAUGUCAUUUGAGUUCAAUGAUGAUGUAUUGAAGAUAGCAUAUAUAUAGGGUACUUUGAAUAUGCUCUUGGGAUCUGAGAAAAUUAAUGUAAUUUUUUUGCUUUCCAAAAUGUAAAAUGUAAAAUGCAAAAUUGUAAUUAUUAUUUUCAAAGUGAAAUGAUUAUAAAUUUGUGGUUUCAUAUUUCUCUUAAUAAAACGUGGAGGCUUUUACAUCAAAUAAAUCUACUCAUGAAAUUAAAGCCUUUAUCAAAAUAUAAAUUUGUGUUUGUCAUCAGAAAUGAAGAUAAAUUAAUUAAAAAAAUUAUGAGUGAGCCAUUUUAAACCCUAUUGUUCCAAUAAAGUUUCAACAGUUUUUAGUGGUUGAACUUAUUAAUAUUAUUUUAAAUUGAUUAUAUUUAAAAUAACUUUAAAAUCAUCAAACUAAUUUCUAUACUUACCUUAGAUCUAGAUAUCAAUAAAAAAAGAAGUAAAAUUUAGUUAUGUUUUAAAAUAUUUUAAGCAAUUUUAUCCUAAUAGUUUUCAUAAAUAAAAUUUGUAGAGUUCAUUUGAUAAUUUAUUUGUUUUCUGUUUUCUGUUUUUUCUUUUUAGUUUUCUAAAAGUGAGUGCAUUUGGUAAUUAAUUGUUUUUAAAAUGAGAAAUUUAUUUUUUAAAUUGUGAAGAAAAACUAAAAAUUAAAAAAAGUGGCUUUUGUUAUUAAAUUAAUAACCAUAUAAUAUAUAUAAACAAAAAUUGAAUAACAAAGUUUAAGAAGUAGAAAGAAUAAAAAUAAACUAAAAUAAACUACAUACCAAGAAAGUGCCUAUAAUAAUAGAAGUUAGAGAGAGACACAUGAGUUAUUUGAUGAACAAAGAGAUAUAUAAGAACAACCAUACUAUAUUUUCAAAAUUGUUUUUAUGUUUUUUGUUUUGGCAAAAUGAUAUAUAUUUUUUAAUUUUUUGUUUUCUUAGUGUGUUUUGUUUUGAAGGUAGUGCCAAGCUGGAAUUGAUUUAUCAAGUCAAAAAAAAAAAAAAAAAGAAUUUCAAUCAUCUUCUACAGUCUUACAUAUGGUUAAUAAUUUGUUUCGAGUGGUAUUCCUUUAAUCUAUUCAAUUUGGACACCUGUUCUUGCAUCACAAUUGCUUGUGAAAAUUUAUUUUCAUUCUUUCAUUUUCUUUCUCAUCCCAAAAUUAAGGGAUUUUGUAUGUAUAAAUUGGCCCAUUGGCCAUCGUUAAUAUACACACGAAAUCAGGGAAGAUUUCUACCAAAUUAUAGUAAAAUCUUCAAACCCUAAUUUGUUUUACCUUGUAAUAAAAUCACUUGCUACUUUUAUUUAGCAAUUUAUUUUCAAAGAGAGGGUCAAGAAUUUAUUUAAACACAAAUAAUAAUAGUAAUAUAAUAUAAUAUAAUACAUUCAAAGAAGCAACAAAACGAGAGUAAAUAUAAAAUAAUCAAAUUUAACGUAUUACUAAAUAUAGCAAAAUUUAGAUUCAGUAGAGUCCAAUAAUAUCAUACGACGUUAGUAAAAGAGAGUUGAUUAAAAUCAAGGUACUUUGAAAGAGUAAUUAAAAAAGAUCUAACUAAAUUAAAGAUGGGAAAGUUGGUGAAGUGAUAGGUUAGGAGUAGAGAAAUGGGAAGAAAAGAUGGAAGAAGCCACAAGAUGAUUAGCAGCUUCAGUGUAAUGAACACCAUCCCAUAUGAUUGAUUUAGAAGGAUUUGAACAAAUUGAAUAACCUGGUUGCCCACAUGUUGCUUUUACAUUGUAAUUGUUUGGUGCCCCUCCAUAUCCACAACAUGCCAUCAAUGGAUCAUUCUCCAACCCUAAUUUCAUCCCAAAUAAUCAACCACAAUCCAAACUAUACACUUCAUCACUAUUUUUCUAAUAAUACAAAUAUUAAUUACUUAUUUUUAAAACUUUCAACAUCAUGUUUAAUAGUUAUCUUUUAAAUUUAUAUUUUUUACAGGCAGGUCUUUGAUAAACCUAGUUAUAUUUCACAAUUUUCUUCUAAAAAAAUUUCACAAAAGUCGUCUAAUGUGUCUUAUGCACGUAUGAGAUGAUGCAAAGUUUAACUUUAUGUUCAAUAUAUUUGAAAAUAUGAAAUUUUCAUUAACUAGACACAAAAUUGAAAGUUUUGUUAAAUUUUUUAUAAAAUAUUAAAAAUGUAGUUAUUAUCCUAGGUCAUAAAAGUUCAAGAAAGUUUAUGGACUUCAAACUCUAUGUAAAAGAAGUUCAUGAAACUUUAGUUAAUUUUUUUUUUUUUUUGUAUUCUCUAAUUUGAUAUCGUGAAUAAAUAUAAUGGUGUAAAUAAUCAAAUUAAACCUUUAUUAUGGAAGUGAUUUUGUAACGUGUGUGAUUGUAAUUUUUCGUGGUCUCGGUAGCUUUUUCUUAAUUAUGGAGCUUUCCUAGUUAAUUUUUGUGUUAGUUUUAUUGUUUUGUUUUAAUUUCUUUUCCUAUUAUGUUGUAAAGUUUUUUUUUUUUUUUUUGACAAGGAUACUUUGGGAUAGCUGAUGCAAGGAUAUCUCCACAUGGGGGACAUAUCAAAGCAUCAGCUAUAGCCCCACUUCAUUAAUAAUACAAGGUGAUUACAAGAAGCGGGGGAAUAGAAAGGCUAGAAGGCAGCCCGAUUAUCCCGAAACGAAAGCAUGUAAAUUUAAAGCAAUAGAACCAGGCGAGUAGUUUUUGAAAAGUGAAGAUCGGCUUGUCCAUAGACCGGUUGUGGCUUGAAUGUCUUCCCAAACCGAGACAACUGAUUUUUCUUCUCCCUUAAAAGUCCUUCUGUUUCUCUCAUUCCAGAUGUUCCACAGGGUGGCAGCCACCAGAUGCUGUUCAAUGGUUUGUCUUUUUUAUUUUCCUUUUCCUUUGAAAGGCUUUUUGCAUAACACAGAGGGAUCUGUAAGGGGGAAAGAUUUGUCCAGAAUCUCUUCAACUUUUUUCCACAGAUUUUUUGAGAAUGGGCAGGAGGAGAAUAGAUGGUGUCUGUCUUCCUCAGCAGCUUUGCAGAGUAUACACCAAGAGGGGUGAAUAUUCCAAGUAGGGAGUCUUCUUUGCAGCAUAUCCAUGGUAUUGAUACACUCACGAAGGAGAAUCCAUAAGAAGAAUUUACAUCUUUUUGGGUGGUAGAUUUCCAUAAAUUAUUGUAAAUAAUCUCAUCCUCGUCAUUGUACUUUUCUUGGUUGUUUUGAGUUCUUGCAAUUUUGGUGGAGGCCACCGAGAAAAAGCCAUUCCUGUUUAAAUUCCAGAGAGGUCUGUCGAAUCCAGUGUCAGGCAAGGGAGGAAGGGUAGCUUUCAAUUCAUCCCAGAGGGCUUCCUCGACACUUCUUAUGGGUCUUCGAGGGAAAAGGUCCCAAUUGGCAAUUUCUGCAUUCCACAUAUUUGCAAUGGAAUUUUCUUUUCUAGAAGUAAGAGCAAAGAGUCUCGGGCUUGUCUGUGAAAAUGGACUACGGUCGUGCCUUUUACUGUGCCAAAAUGAUAAUGUGUCACCCCUUUUAAUACUCCAUUUAAUUUGAGGGAGAACCCAAUUUGCACCUUUAAUGAUAGACCUCCAAGGAGCUUUAAAGCUGCUGAAUUUGCUCUUAGUUGGAAGCUCUCCCAAGUAUGUUUGUUCGUAUUUUGCGGUGAUAAUUCGUUUCCAUAGGGGAUUUUUCUCUUCAAAGAAUCUCCAGAUCCGUUUGCUCAGGAGAGCAAAAUUUGUACUCUCAACACUGUUGAUGCCCAGGCCACCUUUACUGAUAGGAGACAGAACCGAUGACCAUUUAAUGAGGUUGAUAUUUUUCUUUUCCUAAGUGUUUCUCCAAAGAAAACUCCUCCAAAUUUUCUCAAUGUCUUUGCAGACUGAUUUGGGAGGCUUGAAAACCGAAAGGUGGUAAUUUGGGAUGCUAGCUAAAGUAGCUUUAAUGAGAGUAACUUUACCUCAUCUGGAAAGAGAAGCGUAUUUCCAAUUGCUGAUUUUCUUUUGGAGUUUCCCAGUAGUUCCAGACCAGAAGUGUCUAGAAAUUGGUUUACCCCCUAAAGGCACUCCCAAAUAUUGGAUGGGGAGAAAGUUUAUGGAGAAACCCUAUUUUGACGCCACACAAUUUGAUCUCUGCGAAUCAAUGUUGACAGGUGUUAUUGUUGAUUUGUUGAGGUUGAUGUUGAGACCCGAGGCCAACUCAAAAAGCCUAAGGGCAUAUCUCAUGUUAUCAAUGGUUUCUUCAUCAUCCUCCAUAAAAAGUAGGAUAUCAUCUGCAAACAGAAGGUGGGUGAGGUUGUGUUUCCCAUUUAUACUAACACCUUUAAUCGAGUUAUCUUUUUCCAGUUGGUUGAGGAGGAUACUGAGAUAAUCCAUAGCGAGGACAAAGAUAAAAGGAGAGAUAGGAUCUCCUUGCCGAAUGCCUCUGGUUGGCUUGAUUUUACCUCUGGGUCUGUCAUUAAUGAGAAUGAAGUAUUGAACACUUGUGAUGCAUGCACUGAUCCAUUGGCGCCAUUUUUGUGGGAAGCCUUUCUUAAUGAGCAUGAAGUCAAUGAAAGACCAAUUUAUUUUAUCGAAAGCCUUUUCGAUGUCAAGCUUGACCACAAAACCUUUGGUUUUUUUUCUGUUUCUAGUAGUCCACCGCUUCAUUAGCAAUCAAAAUGGCAUCAGUAAUCUGCCUGCCUCUGACGAAAGCUAACUGAUUUUCUGAGAUUGUAUCAGGCAGAAUGAGCUUGAGUCUUUCGGCAAGAACUUUAGCAAUGAGCUUGUAUAGACUAGUCGUUAAGCUUAUGGGUCUGUAGUCUGAAGGAGCAUAGCAGUUCUCCUUUUUGGCAAUAAGAGCAAUAUAUGUGGAAUUCACAUUCUUGUUGAUGAUGCCAUUUUUAUGGAAGUCAUUGAAGAUAUCCAAAAUAUUUUUGUUUGUGUAUUUCCAUGAAAAUUUGAGAAACUCCAUAGUGAAACCAUCGGGACCCGGUGAUUUAUUUUUGGGAGAAUUUUUAAGAGCGUUGUAUAUUUCCUCCUCAGAAAAGGAUUUGCAAAGAUCCACUUGAGUUGUCUCUUUAAUAGCAGUCCAGGAGAGGUUAUCAAUUAACCAUAAGUCUCUUCUCUUAUCCAGGUAAAUCUCCCCGAAAUGGUUAAUAAAAGAUUUCUCAAUAUCCCUAUCCGUGGUGUAUUGAAAUCCUUGCGAAGUGGAAAUACUUGAAAUGAAGCUUCUCCUUUGUCUUACAGAGCAAAUUUUGUGAUAAAAAGCUGAGUUUUCAUCACCUUCCAUGUUCCAUAGACGUUUGCACCUUUGAGCCCAGUCUUGUGCUUCUUUAAAGGCCAUAUUUUUCAAAUCAGUUUUGAUGGUUGUUCUGUUGGAUAAGUGCAUAUAAGUGAUAUUGUUAUCAGCUUCCAGAUUGUCAAUGUGCUCAAGUUCUUUCAAUAAAGCCUGUCUUUCUUCAACAGAGGAGACUUUUUUGUUUUUACUCCAGUUUUUGAUUGUUUGAGCAAUUUGUUUGAGUCUCCGCAUAUAAGAAUAUCCCUGGUGACCUGUUUGAGCAGUGUUUGUCCACUAGUGCUCAAAGUUUUGUUUAAAUGAAGCAUCUUUGAGAAAGGAGUUGUUGAACCUGAACGGUGUGGGCCCCACUUAAUGCUGUUUGAUUCAAGGGAAAUGGGAAAGUGGUCUAAUGUUUCUCUUGGGAGCCGUCUUGAAAAGUGUGGUUCAAAUAUAAUUUCCCAAUCUGGAGUAUAAAGGAAUCUAUCAAGCCUUGAGAGAAUGGGUUGUGCUCUAAGAUGUGACCAAGUGUAUUUGGCAUUUGAGAUCGGUGGAUCAUAGAAAUUGCAACCCGAAAUGAAGAAAUUGAAAGAAUUCAUACAGGGGACUGCAAUAUUUUUUGCUGUAGUUUCUAAUUACCAUCUAACAAUAUUGAAAUCUCCACCCAUAAGCCAUCUUGGAAGGCAAGUGGCUUUAAUCUCUUCAAGCUCCAUCCAGAAAUCACCUCUAUUUUCCGUUUUGAUGGACUAUAAACUGUUGUUAGCCACCAAUGAGAGUUGUUUGUAUAUUUGGAAAAUGAGAUAUUAAUAGAGAGAGUGAAUUUUUUCAUAAGAAAAUCAAUCACUUUAUAUCUUGUGUCAUCCCACAUGAUAAAAUACCUCCUGAACUAUUUACAGCAGGGGAGAAUUGUCAUUUUAUACUAAUAGGGCUCCAAAGUGAUUUAAUAAUUUUCUUGUUGAUAUAUUGCAGUUUGGUUUCUACUAGAAUCACAAAAUCAGGAUAGUAACAGGAUAGAAAGUUUUUUAUUUGUGCUCUUUUUGAGGGAGAGCUUAACCCUCUAAUGUUCCAACAUAAGACUUUCAUGGGAGACUAUUUUUCCCCUUUUCAUACAGUAUCGUUACAUUCUCAUCUCCAGUAGUCUCGCUGUCUUCAUUAACAACACUAGCAAAGGAACUUGUAGUGAGCUUCAGGUUGUUUUUUUUCAACCAAUCCAAUAGCUUCUUUUUAAAGUCUUCAUCGUCAUUGAUCUUUUCCAUUUCAUUAAUUUCAGCAUCUUCCUUAUCACUGAUCAACAUCGGCCCAACAUUGUCAUUUCCAAUCUCCAGUUGUGCCAUAGAAAGGUGAGCCGUUGGAGUGGUGGCUUCUGGGCUUGAGAAAGGUGCAUUUGUGAUGGGGGAUAUAUGGCCCAAGUCUACCGUGAGGUUUAUCCCUUCCAUAUCGAUUUUUUUUUUUUGUUUGACUCUGUUUUCCCUUCUCUUCUUCUGGGUUUGUUUCUUCUAAGCCCAAUGUUGCGUGUGGAGCCUUUACUCGGUAGAUCUGUUUACCUUUCUUUUUUAGAUUGACAGGGCUUUUUGGGCUUCCUUUCUGGUUGUUUUCUUCUGGGCUUCUUAUUCUGAUGGGCCUAAGGGGCACACUUCUAGGAUCAAAGAAGUAUAUUUUAUUCUUUGGAGAAGUGAAGGAAACCUUUCUGUUUGAAUUUUGUGAUGACCGUUGGUUGGAGCUUUCCCCUCUGAAAAAUUUUCUCUCUUUUUUCCUGUCAGCUGGUGUCUUUGUCUUGUCAGUAGAGCUCCCCUGUAAUUUUCCACUACUGUCGCUUUCGCCGUCAUAAUUUAAAAUUUUCAUCAUUGCAUCUUGUUUUUUUAUUGUGUUUUGCAGAUCACUGUUCCGAUGCAACUUUUUUUCUUUUCGUCUUGAAAGUUUUCUGAUAUGGCCCAGCUUGCCGAUACAGCAAUAUAAUCAAGAAACUGGUACUGUUCACAGUCUUGCUUGAAUUCAUUGAAAUUUUUUGCUGCUUCGUUUGUGAAAGUGCCAUGAAUUCUGGGAUUUCUUUCUUUGAGCCAUUUUCCUUCAGCUUGUACAAUAGUCUGAAUUCUAAAAUGAUUUCCCUCCUCAUCGGCUAUUCUAACAAAAGCGGGGAUAAAACCCAUGUAAUUAUACUUGAUUUUGAUAUCUGACUCAAAGAGAUCAAGUCUGGUAUUUUUAGCCACUUCAACAAACCCACCACAUGCUUCUCCAAUUUGAUAGAAAGACGAGUAAUUCCAUGCAUGAAGGGGAAUACCUUUGAAUUUGACCCAACCGCCAUAGCUUGGCAGAAGCUUUGGGGAGGCAUGUUUGGCAAUGUUCCAAGCCUCGAAUUUAACGUAAUACUUUCCAACCGUUGUCCAUCCUCUGUUUUUACAAAGGAGGUUCACUAAGUUCUUAUCUUCAAUCGAAACCGCAGCCUUUUCUGUAUGAAAGGGCUUUAUGUAAUGUUGAAAUCCAGUUGUUCUUGUAAUUUUGUCAGGAUCUUCCUCCAGUCGUCGUGAAAAUAUCUUCUAGUGAUCACCACUGUUUUAGUCCAGUUAGGAGAGUCAAAGGCCCCAGAGGGAGUCUCUUCUUUCUUGCUACCUGAAGGGAGAGUUUUAGGAGAACUAGAGUCUGAUGAGCUACUGUUAGUCAGCACUUCUGCGUAAGAUCUACGUGGGCUGUCUGACUCAGAUGAGGAACUAAAAGAAGAAACUUUUUUGCCUCUGUCUUCAGUAGUUGUAGUCGUCUUCCUUUCUUGAGCGGCUUCCUUUCUUAAUGUCAGCAAGUCUGUAAACUGGGCCCAUCCUUGUUUAUCAGUUCCUUUAGGGACAAGGAUGCAAGAUUUCCUACCUCGAUCAUCCACUCUAAAGAUUUCUGCCAAAUAACCUUUACGGUUGUGUAUUUUUUGGACCCACCAGCAGUUGUCCUCAAAUCUUUUUUCAAGGAAGAACAUUGUCGUUCUAGGAGUAUCCAAUAGAGUACUGAAAGUAGAACUAAGCCAGUCAAAAGAUUCUGGAGUGACAGAAAUGGAGUAGGAUUUGUAGGGACCCAUUUCAGUUAAGAGGAACCUGAGCUCUCUGGAGCGGUUGUCGAUAGAAAUCACGAAAUCGUUUUUUUCAAUGGAGCAAGUAUGGGGUAGUUGUCAGAGGUGUGCCAUGUUUAAUAUGUUGUAAAGAUUUAUUUUGAUUUUUUUAUAAUUAUGAAAGAAACUAUUGUAUCUAUAUUUAUAUUUAUAGUUUAGAUAAACACAAACGUAUGAAAAAAAAAGGUUUUUUUAGUACAAAUGGGAAUGGAGGAUUUGAAUCAAGACCUUUUGUGUUUAGAUACAAAUUGGUGGAAGUUGCUCACGUUGACAGUAUGUCAAAUUUUCAUGGACCCAAGUGGUAAUAUAAACAAAAAUCUUAUUCUUAUAAAACAGAAUUUAAAGUAAUACUGAGGAGGGGUUAGUUUUCCAUUGAGGCUAAUGCCAUACACAGACUACAAAACCUAGAGUUUUUUUCUUUCUUUUUCUUUUUAAGUCUAUCUCAUGGGAUGGGAUUAGCCUUUUCUUUUUAAGUUCUUUUUAUCUUUAAAAACUCUUAUCUUAUAGAAUAGUAUACUUGACAAGACAAUUCUUCUUCUUUAGGUAGUAUACUAGUCAAGAACCUAAGUUUUGAUUUGAGCAUCACACAAGCAUAUUAUAAACUUUUUUGGAAUUAAUUAACAUAAAAAUGAAAUAACAAAAUCAUACCAUAUGCUUUGGGAUGGGCGAAGAGAUUAUAUUUGAUGGUAUAUAUGUCAACGUAGAUGAUGAUAGCAUCCUUAAGCUGAGAUCUUAACUCUUUGCAAACAUUUUUGAGGCCUUUAUUGAAGAAUUUAGCAACUUGAUUGUGAACCUUAAGACAGCCAAUUUGGUCAACAUCGUUGUGGGUGUGGGGAUGCAAUGCCAACUCUUUUGGAGAACAACCCAAUGGUCCUGUGUUGUGUAUCCAAAAUUUUCUCCCACCAUUUGCAUAUAAAUUCUGAACACACAGUUUAUAAUAAUAAUAUUAUUAUAUAUAUAAUAACACCUCACAGUCUGAAAAUCAAAACAAAACAAAAAGAUACUGUUGACAAGAAUGCAUUGGUUUUACAAAAUAUAAAAACUCAAAAGAAGGUUUAAGUAGAGAUUUAUCCAUGGAGUGAGGUCGGGAUGUCAUUCCCUCUCCCCAUCCGAGUGAAAUCCUUUAUGGGUAUCAGGGCAAAAUGUUUUAUGGAGAAUUCAUGGUGAUCAGUUUCCACUAAUUUUUUGUUUUUUUAUAGAAAAAUCAAUUAAUUUAAAUCAUUAUUGUAGGAAAAUUCUAAUUAAAUAGUUAAGUCUAUCACUAAAUUGUUUAUUAUGGUUAUUUUUAUAUUACAAUAAAUUAGUUAAAUUUUGACCUAAGAAACUAAUCAAUCUGUAGUAUGAAGAAAUAAACAUCAACCAAUUUAUUCACAUAUAUAAUAAUCUAAAUUUAAAUAUGAACAAUCAAACUUAAAAUUAGGUAUAUUAUUUAUAUAAUAAUAAUAACACAACCUUACGACAUAACUAUACUAAAUAAAUAAAUAAAGUCUAAAAUCAGGGUGAAAAACGGGAACAAGGUCGAAGAAUGCAAUCUGACCAUCCCAUUUAGUUCACAAAGUUUUUUUUUCCUCAACUCCCUCCUUCAUUUUCCACUUAAGUUAAGGUUGGUUCCCCGGGGUUUCAUUUUUCUAGGUUAACACAUUUCUAGCACCACCAUCAUCUCGCACAUCCUUUUAUUAAAUAACAUUGAAUCAAAAUAGUUAACCUUCAUACUAAGAUUUCACAUGUAUAUUAUUUUAAAGUUGGAGCAUGAUCAAUAAGAACACUAUCACUAUUUGCCUAAUAAAAACAAUGUUGUAUUGUGGUUAAACAAUCUUUAAUUUUAUUUUUAAAAAAAGAAAAAGAAAUUGAUUAUAUCAGAUAUUGAAUUUGUAUAUAAACCAACAAACACUGGCAUCAAAAUAUACAUUAAAAAAUUUCACAUGAUCAUCUAAAAGAUUCGUUAGUCAUAAAAGUUAUCUCUAAUUAAUAAAAAAGAGAGAGAAUUAAGGGGAGAAAUUGUAGUAAAAAAAAAUGUUGAACCUGAAUAGCCAACUUGAUCUCUGCAAGAAAAGAAGGGAUUUUUUGGGCAACUGAUUUGUAGGUUAAAUUUGAUUGGUAAAGAGCCACUAAUAUAUCAUUUUGUCCAAUAUCAAUCAUAUAUAUUCCUUUUCUAAAACCUUCUUCAUCCACCAUCUUCUCUAUUUUACCUGCCAUCAAAAAUAUUAUAUAAUUCAGACCUUCUCUUUUAAUUCAUUUUAAUUCUUUAAUUUAACCAAAUUCUUCAUGGAACAACUGUACUCAAUCAAAUAUUUUAACAUCUACUCAACAAUAACUCAAACCCCAUGCAUUUGGAUUAGAUUGAAUCGUAAGCUUGCAUGUGACUUGGUCUUUUUUUUUUUGUUCAAAACUUCAAAUGUGUUACACAGCUUGAUUGAUGUUAAUGAAAUGAUUUAAAUAGGUCUCCUUGGAUAAUAUUGAAAUUUUUACUUUUAUUUUAAAUAUUGUGUUUACUUUCUCUCCAUUUUGAUUACUAUAAAAGAAAACCAAAUGGUUAUUACCAAUUGGGACAUAAACUAUUAUUAUCGGCCAAUCCACUUUAAAUCAUUUUAUAAUUAGUUUCUAUAAGAUGAAGAAGAGAGAAAUAAAAAAUGAAAAGAAAAAGAAAACAUACCAAAUGAUUGAAGCUCAAGAGAACGAUUCUUAAAGUGAAUGAAUUGACGAACUUGAACAUCAAGGGCAAAAGGAACAAACUGUGGAACUGUAGUUGCUCCACUCACUGCAAAGUUCACUCCACUUGUAAAAUUUGGAGCUAAAGCCUCCAAAUAUGGACUCAAAUAGCUCAAUUUCAACUCUUCACCUUCCAAAAACCAAAAACAGCAUCGAACUCUUCACUGACCUGAUCUCAAAUAACGUAAAACACCCUAACUAGAUCAGUACUAUGUAAAUAUAAUAAUUAAGGAACUCACAGAAGAAGUCAAUUAUCAAGCGGCCGUCACCCAGCCGUCCGGUUCCACGGUGGAAGAAGGUAAUGCCGUGGGGGAGGCCGAUGGGGAGUCCGGUCCCGGCAAGAACGCCACCUGUAUCAGAGUUGGAGUCGCCGAAGUUGAUUAAAGUUGGCGAUGUAGAGCUUGUUGAUGGAAUAUUGAAAAUGGCAAAAGAAAUGACAUAAAACCAAAAGUGAUUCUUCUUUUUCUUGGGAUCAAACAAUAAUGUUGCUGUUGUUCUUGAUCUUGAUUUGGUCAUCUUGUUGUUUUUUUUCCUUUCUUUCUUUCCUUCUUUUAGUUACACUGAUCAUUUUUUGCUUUUUUGUGAAUCUCGGCCAAACACCAAGUUGUAAUUUUCUCAUAAUUUUUUUAAAAUAUCAAGAGAGAGAAGAGUUUAAUUAGGGUUUAACACAAGUUGUUAUUAAAUUAAGGUUUAUAUGCUGGCAGAUGUUGAUUUUUGGUCGGGUUUGUGAUUCAACAUAUAGUAAUUAUAAUAAUUCUUAUUUUCAUAUUUCAUUGUUGACUUCAAUUUGAAUGACUUCAACAUUAAGUUAACUUUGGACACUCUCAAAAUUGCUUAUUAGGAUAUACUUAAUGAGCCAAUGGUAUGUCCAAUCCAAAUAUAGCUAUAACACUUCAAGGCAAUAAUAUAAUUAAAAACUUAGAAAUUUGAAUUUCUACUAUUUUAUUUAAAUUAAUUUGACAAAAUAUAUUUAAAUUAAAUAUAUGUAAUAUAAUAGUUUUGAAUUACAAGAUCUUUUUUACUUUUGAGUUUAAGUAUAUGCAAACUAAUUUUUAGAAAUUAAAAUUGUAUGUUUUAGCUGAGGAAUUGUCCAAAAAUAUAUAGCAUACAAUUUGUUGACUUGUUGGUUUGACUCAAUUAAGCAUAUCUAAAUCUAAAUGAUUUUUAGUUGAAGUUGGGAGUGGGCUUCUUUUAUUUGUACAAAAGCCCAAGAUAUGUGUUUUAACCCUUCAAAGUCCGCCAAGCCCAAACCUCGUUCAUAUCUCCUUUCUCCAACCUAUCUCUCUCCACCCAUAUAUAUACAUAUAUAUAGACAUGUAUACACAUAUAUUAUAGUUAUUCUUAGAAUUUAAUUGGAAAAUCAGCAUUAUUUUUUCGAACAAAUGUAAAAUGGUAACUAAAAAAUAAGAAAGAAAACAAACUCAAUCUAAACGGAUUCAAACCUUUUCAUCUUAGGAUCAAACUAUCGAUUCUUUUUGCGUCAAACUUGCCCAGAUGAACACCCAAAAGAUUUUUAGAAAGAUUACGUAAGAUUUGAAAAAUUAUGUAAAAUUGCGAUGUUCAUUUUGACUGAGAUUCCACUUAAAACUCCCAAAAGAAUCGAUAUUUCGGAUAUAAGAUAAAUGUUUUAAUUUUUUUUAUUCGAAUCUCAGAGCUCAAUCUAUGCCGAGAAACAAACAAAAAUCUAUAACAACUUUUCAGAGAGUACAGGAGGAAAUAUUUUGAGACCUUUUCUCAUCAUUUUUAAAAUACUAGUAAACAACACAUGCGAUGCACGUGAAAAUCACACACUAACAAAAUCAGAGCAUAAGUCACCCAACCAUUUCAAUAAUAAAAUAGUUUUAAUAAAAAAAAUUAAAAAAAAAACAUAUGAGCAAGAUUCUCAUGGAUGAUUUACAUAUGUACAUGUCAACCACAGUGUUGUGGUUCAAGUUUUCCCAACUUAUGUUGUGUACUAAAAAGAAACCUAAUAAAUGGAGGAAUAAACACAAGCAUACUUCUGCAUAUAUAAUAAAAAAUAGACAAAAAAAAAAAAGAAAAACAUGAUUUGAUUCAUUUUUCAUCUUUUGCAUUUUGUUGUGACUUGUUAAUAUGAAUGAAAAAAUGAGAUAUUUAUAACAAGAUUUGGAAAGAAGAAAUUUGAAAGGUUGAAAGAGAUAGGGAAUGUGAAUAGUUGAGAGAUAGAAGAUUAAGGGAGAGAUGAGAAUAUGAAUGAAUUUGGAUAAAUUUAAAUAACAAAAUUAAUUUGAGUGGUUUUUUUAACAAAAGUUAUAAUAAGGAGAUUGAAAAGUUAAAAAAAUCAUUCCCACUGUCAUAAAAGUUAUAAUGAAAAUGAUAUAAAUAUUAAAUCUAUAUAAAUGACAAAAUUGCGACUCAACCAAAACUAGAAAGUGAUACAAUGAAAGGGUAAAAGCACGAACUUAAAUAUUUUUGCCACAUCAACACUUUCGUCAGCAUCCCAUUAGAGUACUAACAUUCAAUUACCCUAAAAACUAAAAAGAGAGCAUUGCUUAAACAUCAAAGGCAGAGUUUGAAAUGAUUGCUUUAAUGAUUUUCAUUACUAAUAAGUUUUUGUAUAGCAUCCUUUGCUUUUCAUUGAUUACAGUUUUGCCAAUACUCUCUAUAAAACAGUAAAAAGAGCAAACGUCCAACAAAAGUCCAAUCAAAAGCUAAACAUUAUCCAAAUUAUAUGAACUUUUUAUAUUGGGCCAUAAUGACUCCAAUCAUCACUUGUUACAGAAGAAAUUAAAGGGAAGUUUUGGAGAAGAGUAUUGAGAAGAAAGUAUCAUGGAGGCAAACACAGCAUUUGCUGCUUCUGUAUAGUGAACUCCGUCCCAACUUACAUACUUCAAUCCUUCAUUGCACGUGUUGAAUCCCGGCUGGCCGCAAGUAACGGUCUGGUUGAAGUUGUAUGGUGGUCCUCCAUAGCCACAACACACAAUCAAUGGAUUCUCAAACCCUGCACAAUGUAGAUGUCAAGAUUAUCAUGUUGCUGAUUCUUGUUAGAAGAAGAUGAUGAUAAUUAUAUAAUUGGCAAUACCGUUGGAGACAGAGUUGGUUAUGAGGUCAUAUUUGAUGGCGUAGACGUCUACAUACACGAGGGUGGCAUUUGUCAAAGCAGAUCUUAGUUCUCCACAUGCAACUCUUAGCUGAGUGUUGAACUCUUUUGCAGCGUUGUUGAAGGAUUGGAGGCAUCCAUGAUUGUCAAUGUCACUGGCAUUUGCAUCUGCAUAAGCUGUAGCGAGCUUUUGAGGUAAACAGCCCAAUGGCCCUGUGUUGUGUAUCCAAAAAUUUCUUCCUCCAUGUUGGUAUAUGGUCUACGUAUGGAUUGAAAAGCAAUUAAGGGAAAGAAGCAAAAACAUAAGAAUCUAGACAGUUUUCUUUUUAACUUCUACUUUUAAGGCCAGAAGAAAUAUUUACAACAUGCCCUUCGACUUUCUGAUAUUAGAUGUGUAGAUUGAGAAUUUUCUAAAAAUGGAGAAUUAACUAAACUUCAGGUCUCACUUCAGACUUUUAUACUGUCAUUUCUAUCAUAUUUUCUACAUACUAAUAUUUGAGUCUAACACAAAGUGAUUUUAUAUCUGCUAAUAUUUGAGUCUAUACAUGAGGUGAUUUUAUAUCUACUAAUAUUUGAGUCUAACACAUAUGGUGAUUUUAUAUCUACUAAUAUUUGAGUCUAACACAUAAGGUGAUUUUAUAUCUGCUAAUAUUUGAGUCUAACACAUAAGGUGGAGUAUUGAAAAUAAAUCAAAAGAUUUCUCACGACUCAUUUAGCUUAAACUUUUAGGUGGUAAAUAGUGUAGAAAUUGAAGGCUAACCCAUAUGGCAUUUUUUAUCUCAGAAACAAAAGAGGGAAUUUGCUGAAUGACUUGUGGAUAAGACAAGUAGGUGAAUGCAGCAGCAAGAUCAUUUUGUCCGAUGUCAAUUGUGUAAAGUGCAUUAUUGAACCCUUCUUCAUCAACCAAGUCUUUAUAACCUACAUCAGUUCAAUUGGCUUAGAAACCUUAGUCAAUAGGAGAAUGAAGAGAUGCUUCCUAUCUAUUAAGGAUGUGCCGUGUGUGUUUAAUCAACUACUACCUUUUGGAAUAAGCUCGAGGGAGCGUGAUUGAAAUUGAAGGAAUUGCAUAAUUUGAAUAUACAAAUUAAAUGGACGAUCCUUUGGCAGAGUAGCUGAACCAGAUAUAGCAAAGUUGGCUCCAUUGGUGAAAUUUGGGCCCACAGAUCGCAGAUAUGGGGUCAAAUAAUCAGAAUUCACACUUUCACCUGAGGAAGAAUUUGCAUUUUAGUAAGAAAAUCAAACUAUUGAGCACUUGUUUUGUUGGAUCAGAGUACGUACAUAGAAAAUCAAUCAUUAAACGUCCAUCGCAUAAUCUUCCUGCUGGUUUAUGGAAGAAUGUACGUCCAGUUGGGAGUCCGAAUUUGAUGCCAAGUCCCUCAGAAAAACCACCAGUAUCAGAAUUCGAGUCACCAAAGUUGAAAAUAACUGGCUUUUGGAUGCACUGGGAAUGAACAAAAAGAGGAUCAGGUAGAGAAAGUAGGAAGAAGAUCAGAAACAAUGGAAAAGGGGAGGAAUCCCUCUUCUCUUCCUCCAUUUCUGUAAUCAGAUUCAUUAACCCUCUUGUUUAUGGUAACUAAUGAUCACAAAUAAAUAAAGAGCAGAGAGACAAUGUCAUGUGUAGUGAGUACUAAAGAUCCCAGUUGCACUCCAUGUGCUCUCUUUGAGAUUUCCUUGGGUCUCAGCUAGUUAAGCACUCAAAGCGUAUUGAAUUCACAAGAAGCCAAAUUAAAAAUUCUAAAAAAAAAUCUGAUAUGAUCGAUUAAUGUCUUCCACGAUUAAUAAGAUUAAAGUCGUUUGGGCCCAAUAAGAAGAAAAAAAGGUUUAUGACCAGCCUCCACUUUUAUCCAUCCAACUUACUACCACUUACCAGAAGGAAAAAUGGCAAGAUUCAUAUAACUCUUCCUACACAAACCUUUCAAGAGGGAGAGUAUCGGCAUUACUUUCCAAGAAACUACCAUUUUUGUCCAAUUUGGAGAAUUUUCACCGGUUCUGAUGCAAGUUGGUGGUAAGUUGCUUUAACUUGUAAAGAAUGGUGGAGAGAAACUGCAAAUCCUGACAUCAGACAAAAGUGAGAGAGCACAAAAAGAUGUUGAAUAUAGUUUUCUUAUUUUGUUUUAUUUUGGGAUUGCACUAUUCCUUAUGCUAGUCCGUGAGUAACAGAUCCCUGAAGAAAAGAAUAGAGAGAGAGUAAGUUAAAACUUAGAAGAACCUUAUCCUGAGUAUCAAAAAAUCUGUCGUUUUCUCUUAGUGACAAGAACCUCAGUUUCGUCCAUACAGUGACUACCGACAUUUAGCAACUUGAUGCCAAUUAGUGAAUGUCACAUGAACAUCAUGUUGAAUUAUAAUAAUGCUACUAAAAUAUAAUAUUAAGACAACACACGCAUUCAGCAUCCCCCAGUACAAGCUACCUGGAAAUUUUCUGGAGAGAAUGUAUGAGAAAAGCAUGUGGUAAGGAAUUCAUACAAAUAAGAUCUUAAUAUUCCAUAUUAUCCUUGUUUUCGAAGAGAACAUGAGCAUCUGAGUAACAUGGAUAUCAGAAAGUAAUUUCAUGAACAUCUGAAAGAAAUAAAUGGGAAAAUAAUAUCUCCACACAAUAUUUUGAUAUAUAAUAUUCUCCACAAUUGAAAGUAAUCGGUAUUAUUCCCAUUUUUGCCUGAUAAAUGAAGGCAUUAACAACGGUUUAUGCAGUGUGGCUCUUGGAUUGGUAAUAGGACGACUCAGAUAAAGCCGAUAACUACCCAAAAGCUCACAUGAAUUUAAGACUCCGAUGUACUUUACAAAUUAGAAAAGGAAAAAGGCUGCAGAACUACAAGUGCUUGGCUUCUGCAGCCUAUAACAUUGAGCAGCAAUUAGUUUGUUGAUACAAUUCAAAGUUGGAUUGCCAACUAAAAGCUAUUCCUAUUCGAGUAAACUACAUGCAAAUCGACCAUCAGAAAAAGUUAUUUUAUCUGAAUUUGUUACUGCAUCCAUAGGGAUAGGGCUGAAGCUUCGUGACGGGCCAUAGAAAUGAGGAAAGCUAUUGCAACCAUCAACAAGUUCAUAAAUCAAUCCAUCACCAAGCUGCAAAGAAAAAGAUUAAUGUAAUACCAAAUAUAAUUAUAGACGAUGUAAAAACAUGUAAAAUGGAAAAAAGGCCAAACGUUUAUAACAUGUAAAAUGGAAAAAUAGGCCAAAGUCUCAGUGAUAAUAAAAUUUUUGUGGUUAGAGACUUGUUCAGUUUAAGUCUAUACUUUUAAAUAUCCAAAUUUAGUCCCCAGUCUUUCAAUAAAUCUUAAAAAUGUUCCCUACUGUUGGUUUAGUGUUAUUAAAAAAGAGUCUCCACUAGCCUUCACUCAUAAAUCUUGGGAACGUUCUCAUUGUGUCUUUUCUUGACCGGAAAUUAUUAUAAUUGUUGUUGAUCAAAUUUGAGAAAAACUCACUUCAAACCAACACUAACUACGGACUCAUUUUAUGUUUUAUUGAAUGUACAUGAACUAAAUUUAGACAUUUGAAACUACAGGGAGUCAUGGACCAUAUAAACUAAGUUUGUUUCAUUUACUCUUGUCAAACUGAAUGUCUAUAAAGCUUUAGCUAUCUUUCAAUAACAGAAGAUGACUAUUGAGUACUGGGACAGCAUUCUUAAGAACAUUUCCAAUACGAGCCACAAAGUUUUUUAGUAUAACCAGGGCCUUAAACUAAUGAUAUUUGAUGAAGGAUAUAAUUUGGUAAUAUGUAUAUCCAUCGAGUUCCAUGGUGGAGUCAACAAACUAGAUGGUUAUGACUUAUACGCUAGCUUGCACGAUCACAGUUUUUGAAGCCAAGGGACAGUACAAAUCACUAGAAAUUUAUCUUCUACCCUUUUAUAUUAAUCGCACAAUGCAGACACGAGAGAAAAAAGGAAAGGCAUCUCUGUACCUUUUUGGCCUCAAUUUGAAGGAGAUACAAUUCAUCUUUGAUAUUCAGGAAGAAAUUCUGCAAAGUUGACUGGACCUGCAUGACAAUUCAUCAUCUGUCAUUUAAACUUUGGUUCUUUCCUAAAGUUAAGGCUUUAAAAUAAGAACUGGCGAAUGCAUAAAAUUUGACUGGGCAACCAAAUUAAGCGAUGGAUAUUGACUCUAUAAUAGUCUCAUGCCGCUAAAUUCCAAUUUGGUGAAACUACAUUUGAAUUCUCUAAGUUGGCUUUCAAUUUCACCUUGCAAACUACUUUUACGUCAGUUUAGUACCUUGGACCGAUAAGUGUAGCAUGAAAAGAGUUGUUAUAUAUAUAUAAUUAAAACAGGGUUUACCCUAUAUCAGAUGAAGCGAAAGAAAGGGUAGGAUUAAGCAAACACAUUGCAAGCUGAAAUGAGGAAAUAUGGUUUGUGGAAAGAGCAAAAUUGUCGUAUAGGAGAGGAAAUAAGAGAAUGUGAUGAGAUUAGAGAAGGAGAGAGAGAGAGAGAACCUGAUCGAGGUUACUGAGAUGAAUGAAACCGGAAGAUUUGUCGAGGUGUCCUCCACAGAUAUGACCAAGGCGGUGUGAUUCAUCCCACUCCUUGGAGGUACUGAUUCUGUAAACAAACUCUUCGGUAGGUGCAGAAUUUUGUUCCUCAUUCUGGUCUGCCAUUUCUAAGUUUGUGAUUCAAUGAGUCACCGGAAUCAGGUUUGGAUAGGUAGAGAUGAUUGGGGAUAUGAAAUGACCACAUAAAUAACUACAAUUUCUUUUCUUUUUAUCUACACACACGUUUAUAGGAUCAUCGUUGUAAAUUGUAAUAGUUUUUCUCUAUUUCUUCUAAGAUGUAAGGGUGUUACUCAACAACAAUUUAUAAUCCUCUCAAAUUCAAAUUAGCAAUUAACAGAAUCUCCUCCUAAAACAAGUUUUUAUAAAACUUCAAAAUUAACUUAAAUGAUGUAUGCUUUUUUAGAAUAAUUUUCUAACUGUUUAUAAUAAUAUAUAAUAUAUAUAUAUAUAUAAACAUGCUUCUACAUUAGUUUGUGAUACUUCCAUUACUUUUCCUUUUAGCCCAUCAAUUGUUUUACAAAAGAAGUUUUAUAUAUUUAUUUGAUAAUUAUUUUACAAAUAUCGACCAUUAACAAGUAAAACCAAGUAUUAAGGAAACAAUGAAGCUAAAACUAACCAAAACAAUGGUCUGAUACGUCAUUUGAGAAAGAAGAUUCAAAUUAUCACGAUGCCCUUGGGGUAGGCCACAAUGUUGUGGCUGCACCAAUAGCAAAAGUUUGUUGAGGCUACGAGCAUUGCAAUGCUCCACAUUGUUGGAGCAUGACGCCAUCCAUAGAAGACCUUGAUGCGAAAAGCGCCGUGGUGCUCUAGAGUUUGUCAGAAAUGUGAUCACGUGCACUCGAGAGGGGAGCCAUAGCACAUCACUCUAAUUCAAGGGUAGCAUUGUCGUGGAUCUGUCACAAUUAUUAUAAACCUUAGUUGCUAGCUCUAUUCAUCAUCUUCCUAAUUCCUCCCAUAUAUAUUAUUCUCAUCCUCUUUUGUACCUAACUAUUAUUGUGUAACGUAACUAGUUCAAGCUUAGGUUUAGAAGAUUUCUUCUUUUUGAUUAAUUUGUGAGACUUGGUCUUCAUCAAAACUUUUUUAUACUUGUGUCUUUGGAUUUUCUCUCUGGAAUGAAUCAAAUAUUACUCAUUUUAUUUAUGGAUUGUCUGACAAACUUUUCUACAUUGCAUGAUUAGUUGAUAAUGAUUUAAACUUCGUUAAAUACCUAAAUCACCAAGUAGCGAAAUGUUAGAUUAACUUGUUAAUUGUGAAUCGACCACUAAUCAACAUUGCUCUAAUCAACCUAGAGAAAAAUCACAUUCAGUUUUCUAAUUAGGAAUUACUGUUAAAAUUCUUCGUUUGCGUAAUCCCUAAAACUCAAUGCAAUUAAUUCAAAUGAAUAGCACGUGUGUCAACUACCGACGUUGGCUAAUUAGUUAAUUAGGAGGUUAAUUAACAUUACUAACCAAUUUUGCUAGGCUUAGAGAAGUGGGAUCUAGAGUUUGAUGAUCAACUAUACAAAUUGGGGGAAGCUUCAAAAUAAACCGAAGCUACGCCUUCUUUAUCCUAAUUUCACAUCCUCACCUACUUUUGAUUGCCAACGAUUUACUUGCACAAUUUAAUUUUACACCAUCUUUUAAUCUCAAAGAAAACAUCAAACUAAAUCCUUUGGUUGUCUCAAGGUUUCGCUCAUUUUAAUUGAGAAACACAAUGAAGUUUCGCUCAUUCUAAUUGAGAAACACAGUUAUUUUUAGUGAUUCGACCUCAUACUAGGCUAAUACUACGAAACUAAGGUAGGUAACAAAUUAAAUUUGUAAGUUCGGAAGAUUUGACACCCUUCAGUGAGCAACUAAGUAUUAACUCACUCUCACAUUUAGGGUUUUGCUUCCACUUUCAUCCUUUUAUUUUGCACAAUAUUGAGGUAUUAAAAAAUACAAGAUGUAUAUCUCAUUUUAUUCUCUAUUAAACAUUUUGGUUUCUAGAAUGGAACAAGUCAUUGCACCAAGAAUCAGUUUGACAGGAAACAUAUUGAUAAACCACCAAUAUUAUAUCAAUAUAGUAGGAGAGAAAAAAAGAAAUAACACGUGAGGGAAAUGCAAGUGUGAGUGAAGGAAAGGGUAGCAAUAUAACUAAACUUUGUUGUGGACGGGAAAGGUAGUUAGGAUUUGAGUUUUAGAAUCUUUUCUGUUCUUCCUUGAAAGAUAGGAAAAAAGGAGAUUUGUAUUUCUUCUAUUUCUACUACUAUCAAUAAUAUCGAAUUCACCUUCUACCUACGAGUUCUAUCAAAUUGGUAUCAGAGCGCGUGAUUAUGAGCUAGCAAAUUGAAAAUGGUGCAAACAAAAAUUGAAUAAAAGAUGGAGACGUUUGAUCAAGAAAUUCAAGGAAUCAAAAAAGAAAUCGAAAAAUUACCAACAAUAGAAAAAACGUUGAACGAUCUGGCGAAGGGCUUGGAAAGACAAAAUAAAAUGAUGAUAUGAUUCAUGGAAUCGGCGGCACAAGAGAGAUUGACGAUGAACGAGAAGAUUACUGAAUUAUCGAUGCAGAUUACUGUGAUGAAGAGUAAUAGUGAAGGCGAAGGAUCAUCAAGUCGCGAAAGUAUACUGAAGAACGAAGAGAAGAAAACAAAUGAGGAUAAUAAUGGCAAUCGAAAUAAGUUCAAGAAAGUGGAGAUGCCAAUCUUCAAUGGAGACGAUCCCGAUUCGUGGCUAUUUAACUGAAAGGUACUUUCAAAUCUAUAAACUUACUCAUUUCGAAAAAAAUGACUGUGGCGACUAUAAGUUUUGAAGGCCCGGCUUUAAAUUGGUAUCGGUCUCAAGAAGAGCAGGAGAAAUUUACCGAUUGGACGAAUUUAAAAGAGAGAGUAUUAGUUCGAUUUUGAUCAAUGAGGGAGGGCUCAUUGUAUGGUCGAUUCUUGCAAAUACAACAGAUGACAACCGUGAAGGAGUAUCGAAAUCUGUUUGAUAAACUAGUAGCACCUUUAUCUGACUUGCUUGAGAAUGUGGUAGAGGAAACCUCUAUGUCGGGAUUAAAACCAUUGAUUCAAGCUGAAAUAGACUUCUGUGAAUCUAAGGGAUUAUCACAGAUGAUGAGAAUUGCUCAUAAGGUAGAAAACAGAGAGGGUAUUAGAAGAGAAGCAAACCUUCAUGGAUAUUCAAGAGGAAAAUUGAAUAGUUCUGGAAGUAGUAUCAAAGUUAAUACGACUGUGAAUUCUGGAGAUAAUAAGGGAAGUAUGAAUUGGCCGAUGAGGACAAUUACUUUGAGAGGGACUUCAAGUGAAGAAUUACGAAAAAAAGGUCCCACAAAACGGCUUUCUGAUGUCGAGUUUCAAUCACGAAGAGAGAAGGGUCUAUGUUUCCGAUGCAAUGAGAAAUAUUCUCAUGACCAUAAGUGUAAAACUAAGGAGCAUAUGGAAUUACGUAUGCUGGUAGUAAUGGGAGAGAAUGUUGAGUAUGAAAUCAUUGAAGAAGAUAACACUGAGGGAGUUGAACACGAUUGAGGUUACAGGAGAAGAACAAACAGUGGUAGAAUUGUCAAUAAAUUCAGUGGUGGGGCUAUCCAAUCAUGGAACAAUGAAGGUGAAGGGAAAGUUACAAGGAAGAGAAGUCAUUGUAUUGAUAGAUUGUGGAGCUACACACAAUUUUAUCUCAUAAGGUUUAGUUAAGGAGUUACAGAUUAAUACCAAGAUUACCUCAUAUUAUGGGGUCAUUUUGGGUUCGGGAACAGCUAUUAAAGGAAAAGGAGUUUGUGAAGCCAUUGAAAUAAUGUUAGGAGACUGGAGGGUGGUUGAUGAAUUCUUACCUUUGGAGUUAGGAGGGGUGGAUGCAAUAUUGGAAAUGCAAUGGUUGUAUUCUUUAGGUAUAACCGAGGUGGAUUGGAAGAAUUUGAUCUUGACAUUUACACAUCAAGGGAAGAAGGUGGUUAUAAGGGGGGAUCCAAGCCAAACAAAGGCAAGGGUCAACUUAAAAAAUCUCAUGAAAUCCUGGGGAGAAGAGGAUCAUGGAUUUUUAGUAGAGUGUCGUGCAUUGGAAAGGAGAGAGUCAUUGGAAGAGGAAGAUUCGUUUGAUGAAGUGUUGACUAUAGAAGAAUCUGUGGCAGUGGUGUUGAAAAGAUUUGAGGACGUAUUUGAAUGGCCCGAGACAUUACCUCCACAAAGAUUGAUAGAACAUCAUAUCCAUCUUAAAAAGGGAACUGACCCAGUAAAUGUUCGUCCUUAUCGGUAUGCAUAUCAACAAAAGACAGAGAUGGAAAGAUUAGUGGAAGAGAUGCUAGCAUCAGAGGUAAUAAGGCCGAGUACGAGCCCUUAUUCCAGUCCCGUAUUGCUGGUGAGAAAGAAGGAUGGGAGCUUGCGUUUUUAUGUAGAUUACAGGGCUCUAAAUAAUGUAACUGUAUCAGAUAAGUUUCCAAUACAAGUGAUUGAGGAGUUGUUUGAUGAGUUACAUGGAGCUACUAUGUUCACUAAGAUAGAUCUUAAGUCAGGAUAUCAUCAAAUUAGGAUGUGUGCAGAUGAUAUUGAAAAGACAGCUUUCCGAACCCAUGAGGGUCACUGUGAAUUUAUGGUGAUGCCAUUUGGAUUGACAAACGCAUCGUCCACUUUUCAGUCACUAAUGAAUACUAUAUUCAGGCCAUACCUUCGAAAGUUUGUCUUAGUAUUUUUUGAUGAUAUUCUGGUUUAUAGCAAAGGAUUGGAAGAUCAUUUGAACCAUAUGAAAGCAGUGUUAGAAGUAUUGAGGAAGAAUGAAUUAUAUGCGAAUAAGAAGUGUAGUUUUGCUCAUUUUGAGUGGACUACCUGGGGCACAUUAUUUCGGAAAAUGGAGUUGAAGUGGAUCCUGAGAAGAUCAGGGCUAUAAAGGAGUGGCCAGUUCCAGUUAAUGUAAGAGAGGUUCGAGGAUUUCUUGGGUUGACUGAAUAUUAUCACAAAUUUGUUCAAAAUUAUGGAACAAUUGCUGCUCCUCUAACACAGUUGCUGAAGAUAGGAGGGUUUAAAUGGACAGAGGAAACACAAGGGGCUUUCAACAGGCUACAACAAGCGAUGAUGUCUCUUUCUGUAUUGGCUCUACCUAAUUUCAGUGUGCCAUUUGAAAUCGAAACUGAUGCUUCAGGGUAUGGAUUAGGAGUUGUAUUGGUACAAAACAAGUGGCCAAUUGCUUAUUAUAUAGCCAUACUUUGGCAAUAAGAGACCGGGCUAAACAUGUAUACAAAAGGGAGUUGAUGGCAGUGAUUAUGGCUAUACAAAGGUGGCAUUCAUGCUUAUUGGGAAAGAAGUUUCUAGUCAAAACUGAUCAACGGUCUCUAAAGUUUUUGUUGGAGCAAAGGGUGAUUCAACCUCAAUAUCAGAAAUGGAUAUCCAAACUUCUCGGAUACUCAUUUGAAGUGAUUUAUAAACCGGGGUUGGAACAUAAAGCAGCAGACGCAUUAUCUAAAGUACCAGCAACUGUGCAUUUGAAUAAGUUAAUAGCUCCAAAUGUGAUUGAUAUAGAAGUGAUUAAAGCAGAGGUAGAUCAAGAUGAGAAGUUGAAGAAUAUUAAGCAGGGAACUUGUGAGACAGCAGCGGCAGAGGAUAGUAAGUAUUCAAUGAAGAGGGGGAUGUUGAUGUAUAAAGAUAGAAUGGUGUUAUCUAAAACAUCCAAAUUAAUUCCAACAAUCUUGCAACAUUACCAUGAUUCAGUAUUCGAUGGUCAUUCAGGGUUCCUACGAACUUAUAAGAGGAUGGUUGGGGAGUUGUAUUGGGAAGGAAUGAAACAGGAAGUGAAGAAAUACUGUAAGGAGUGUAUGAUCUGUCAACGCAAUAAGACCUUGGCUCUUUCACCAACUGGUUUAUUAACUCCUCUAGAAGUGCCAAAUAGAGUGUGGGGGGAUAUAUCAAUGGAUUUUGUGGAAGGAUUACCUAAGGCAGGAGGUUAUGAGGUGAUAUUUGUAGUGGUUGACCGAUUUAGUAAAUAUGGGCAUUUCAUCCCUAUGAAACAUCCAUAUACAGCAAAAGUCGUGUCUGAAAUAUUUGUGAAGGAAAUAGUGCGUUUACAUGGAUAUCCCAAAUCCAUAGUAUCGAAUAGAGAUAAGGUGUUUUUGAGUCACUUUUGGAGAGAAUUGUUUCGUCUGGCAGGAACCAAAUUGAACCAUAGCAUAGCAUAUCAUCCACAAAUCGAUGGGCAAACGGAGGUUGUUAACAGAGUAGUGGAGAGUUUUUUGCGCUGUUUUUGUGGGGAGAAGCCAAGGGAGUAGAUUAAAUGGAUUCCUUGGACAGAAUACUGGUAUAAUACAACAUAUCAGCGUUCAUUGGGAGUCACACCAUUUCAGGCGAUGUAUGGGAGAUUGCCACCUCCUUUGAUAAAUUAUGGAGAGAGAGAUACUGCUAAUUCCACAUUGGAUGAGCAGUUGAAAGAAAGAGAUGUGGUGUUGGGAGCCCUACGAGAACAUUUGAGAGUCGCACAAGACAAAAUGAACAAGUAUGUAGAUGCCAAGAGGAGAGAAGUUCAUUACCAAGUUGGAGAUUUGGUAUUGCCGAAAAUAAGGCCUUAUCAGCAGAUGUCUUUGAGAAGAAAAAGAAAUGAAAAACUUUCACCGAAAUUCUUCAGGCCUUAUAGAGUCAUAGCUAAGAUUGGACCGGUAGCUUAUAAAUUGGAAUUGCCAGAAAAUGCUACUAUACAUCCGAUAUUCCAUGUCUCUCAGUUAAAGAAAGUACUUGGAAAGCAUGAUGAGAAUAGAAAUGGCAUGCCCUGUUUAACUGAAAAUCAUGAAUGGAAAGAUGUUCCAGAGGAGGUUUACGAAUAUUUGAAAAACAAAGCGGGAAGUUGGGAUGUAUUGGUGCAGUGGAAAGGUCUACCGCGACAUGAGGCUACCUGAGAGUUAUAUGAAGAUUUGAAGCAGUGAUUUCCAGAUUUUCACCUUGAGGACAUGGUGAAUUUGGAGAAGGAGAGUAAUGAUAGACCACCAAUAUUAUAUCAAUAUAGUAGGAGAAAAAAAAAGAAAUAACACGUGAGGAAAAGGCACGUGUGAGUGAAGGGAAGGGUGGCAAUAUAAAUAAACUUUGUUGUGGACGGGAAAGGUAGUUAGGAUUUGAGUUUUAGAAUCCUUGAAAUAUAGGGAAACAGGGGAUUUGUAUUUCUUCUAUUUCUACUACUAUCAAUAAUAUCAAAUUCACCUUCUACCUACGAGUUCUAUCACAUAUCUCAUACAGAAAACAUAUUUUCCCCGAGAAUACGAAGAAAAAAAAAAUGAACCUCAGAAAUAUGGUCAUCAUGGCAAGCUGGAUGAAGUAAAAUAUGGCCAAUAAUUCAAUAUUUGCAUGGAGAUUGAUGGGAAAUAUCCAUCCAAUGUCAUAUAAUGUAAAUAAUUUUCAUUUUCAAAACACUAAGGCCCCUAAAACAUAUGCUCAAACACAUUUUGGAAAAUAAGAACAUUGAGAGAACGUAUAAGAACAGUGAGGCAUUUCUGUUUGCAGCUCCCAUGGCCAAGAAUAUUUCCGAAGUAAUGUGUUCAACGAAAGAAAGCAAAUGGAACUUUUCCUAGGUCAGCUGGAUGAGAUUUCAUACUUGAGAAAGCCGCUCGCAACGUAAUGAAACUUGAUGGCAAAAACAGGAGGAACGUUUAAAAUGAUAGAUCUUGGUUUAUACUGUCUUCAACUUGAAAAAUUCCAAAUAGAGAUGUGAUCGUACUGGGUCUUGGUGAUCUUCAUGACAGCCAGAUCCGAGUUUCUGAAUUUCUAUAUACAUUCAUACCCUCAUGAAGCUAUAGAGUUGGUAACUCAUGAGACAGUUCUUGAACCAAUCACCUCAUUUUCUUUCUAACUAUCUUUUUGAAGCGAAUAGUGCUUUGUGCUUAUUUGGACAAUGCAUUGAACACGAGAGCGUACAGUUCUAAGCCAGAGGUAGUGUCUACAUCCUACCAUGCAAAGCUUUCUAGAGGAGGCUAUGGGAGGUUCCAUUUCUAAUCCGCCAAACAGUUGAUGUAGAUGCUGCGGCUAGCCUCAAGAGGUUAUUUGUCAAUUUCCAGCUCCACGAUCUUGUUUGGCAUCCUGCUGUUGAAAUGCAGUUAAUGUGUUGAUGCUCUGUUGGUUUUCAGUUUUUCACUGAGUGAAAAAUAUAGACCCUUGACAUGUGGGGAAAAAAACCAUUUAACAUGGAGAUGAAUUCGAAUUUGACAGAACUGCUGAAUAACUCAUUGUUCCAGGGGAGGCAUUUUUUUUAUCCAAAAAAUAUCAUCCAUUUUCUUUGACAAGUUCUGAAGAGCCUCAUGUUUAUUUGCCAGUUCCAUGAGUACUUUGAUCCUUUUAAACGAGGUGUAACUUGGCUUAUGCCCCUUAUCUACCAUCUGCAGAAAACAGCUCUCAGCUUCUAUCAACUUUCCCAAAUCACAAAGAAGAUCAAAUAACUCCUCAGAAACUAAUAUAUAAGACCCAAAACCCUUUUGUAUCAUAUCAUUCCACAGCUCCAAUGCCAUUUCUUCCUUUUCAUACUUCUUAAACAACCUCACUAGGAACAAGCAGGAUUGUGUAUUAGGCAAGCACCCCGUAUCCAUCAUUCGACGAUAUAAAUUCCAUGCGCUUUGUAAGUCAUUCGACCAGAAGAAAAUCCUAAAGAACAAGUUGUAUGUCGUUGCAUUUGGACUCAGACCCUUAUUCACCAUUUCAUCCAACAAAUCAAAAGCCUCAUGAAGCCUCUUCGCAAUGCAAAAAUUCCGUAUUGUAGCAUUGUACGCUGCAACAUCAGGGUAACAUCCAUACUCCUUCAUUUCUUUCAAAAUAUUUCUGGCUUUAUCGGGUUGACCAACCAAUCCCAAUCCCCCAAUAAUACUAGUGUAUGUAAUCACAUCAGCAGGUAUAUCUUCAUCCCUCAUUUUCCCAACCACCUUAAACGCCUUGUCCAUUUCCCUAUUCUUACAAUAAACAUCAACUAAACAAUUAUAUGAAACAACAUCAGGUUUAACCCCCAUUUCUAUCAUCUCAUCAAAGAAUCCUUCAGCUUCUUCUGACGACUUCCAACCCGACAAUAAUAUGUUAAACGUCUGCAAAUUCGGCCUAAACAUACUCUUCAAACCGUGGUAAACAUUCCUCGCAUCCAUCAUACUCUUCUCCUGGCACAGAGUUCUCAGCAAUGCAUUAAAACAAGUGACAUCAAACUCAGGAACAAACUUCUUGAACUUCCUAAAAGACUCUACAGUUUGCCUCACAGAACAAACUUUGGCAAUUCUUCCUAAAACAACCAUAACAGUUCGAAGCGAGAUUAACGACGGAUCCUUAAACUUAACAUCAAGCAAAACAUCCCAAAUUUUGUCGAACUUCCGGCUUCUACCUAGUAUAUAAAGCAUUGUAUCAACAGAAAACGAAGUGUGAUAAAAUCCCCUUCUUUUAGCAGUGUAAUUAAAGAAUUCCAAAGCCUGUAAGGGAUUGCCGUGACUAAACCUAACCCUCUUAAGAACCCCGUCGAUCAGUUCAUUUGAGAGAAAAACCCUACUCGAUUCCAGAGAAUGUUUCAUGUCUGUUGAAGAGGAGGAAGUAGUAAUAAUGCGGAAAACUGUUUCUAUGUUUUGGUGUAGCGAUUGAUUAUCAGUGGAAGAUGAAAAUGGGUGGGAGAAAAAAAUUGAUAAUGGGAUUGGGGAGAAGUACCUGAGGGGCGAUUGAAAGAAGUUUGGGCGUCGGAGAAUCAUCGUGGGCUUCGUUGGGAUGAAAUUGAAUUGAGGUGGAGCGGGCAAAAGAGUUUAGGUUUGCAAAUUGAACCGUGAGAAGACGGCGUUUCUAAAACGAAGAACGAAGCAUGUAUUCAAUAUAUGUAACGUUACUUCUUUUAAACACAAACUCAAAUAGCUACAGCAAAAUAAUAUAAAUACUGCUUUUAAUAUUUUCAUUUUUUAAUAAUUUUAUUUCAUUUUAAAAUUACCGACUAAAAUAUGUAUAUUUCAUUAUUAAAUAAACAAAUAUAUAGUAUGAAAACUAUUAGAUAAACUAUAAAAAAAAAAAUACUGAAGCCGUGGAGUGGACCCUAACAUUGAGCCAAACUCAAGUGUGUUUGCAUGGCUCGCUCGUUCUCACUAGAUCAAGGAAAGUUGUGUGUCCAGUUUUGCUCCAAAUCAAAACCACCACCCUACUUUUAUCCAUAAUUUGGAAAACAACAUUAUUCACCGCUAAUAUAAUAUAGAUACAUAAUUUGGAAAACAACCUCAUUUUCUUUUCUUCCUAUUGUUGCCUUGUAUUUUUUUCUAUCUUAUCAUUUCUUUUAAUUGAAUAUCCUAUCUCAUCUUGCGGCUCAAUCCAAUGCCACCACAUUUCUUCAACAAUUGCACAUUCAAUUCCUUCAAAUUUACAAACAAAUGAUAAGAUAGAAUUUUUAUCGAAGUUUGGUAUUCGAGGUGGUUAGCAGAACCUAAAAUUGACUGUCGGAGUUUGUCGUCAAAGAAUUGAACGUCAAAGUUGGAUGUGUGAAAGUGGUAGUCAAAGUCAAUUCUUUGAGUGUGGCAUAGUAAUUGUCAAUGAUGGUUGAUACGUAAAUCUCUUGAAAACAUUGAAGAGAAUGGAGAGUUUGAAUAAUAUAAAACUCAAUUCCACCCUCAUGAAAAGUGGUGGGCCGAACAAUGAGUUGAUAUGUUACAUCAACAUCUCACCCCAUGUUGGGUUUAGCUUUGUUUCAAAAUUCACUUUUUUUAACCAUGGUCAUUUCGCUAAAUACUCACUUCCAGUUAUUAGUGUCGAUGUCUGUUAAUUAAUUUUAAAAGAAUUAAAUUGAUUAAAAUUAAGUUAAUUUUUACUAAUUUUUGUAAAACUAUUAAUAUUAACUAAAAACAUUUCAAAACAUAAUUACUUAAAAUUAAUUAACCAAAAAUUAUUGCCAAAGAACAACGUGAAUAUUAGUAAAAUCUCAAGGAUAAAAAUGAAAAUAUAUCAAAUAAAAACUAAACUCUAACACCCUUCUCAAAGGUAUAGAAAUAUAAUUUUCGAAAUCCCAGGAAAAAGAAACGAGACCCAAAAUUUUGAUGAUGCAUCCUCGUUGCUUGGGAAUGUGAAAUUCCAACAAAAUUGAAAUCUAAACCCCUACCUCCCUCCCUGAUCUUCAAAACAUUCCAUUGGAAUACACCACCCAAAAAGACAAAAAAGAAUUCUGGUAUCAAGUUCGAACGGAAGUUCGAAGUUGAGAGAGUGUUAAGCUAGUAUCAUCAAGUUGAAAGUUAGUCAACAAAAGAAAAAAAUAAUAGAUUUUGAGCAAAUUUUCUUUUUGCUAAUUACCAUCUCUUUCUCCACCAAUGCUGAAAGCUCAAUCACGCAAAGAAACAGAAACAAAAACAAAAAGCAAAAGACAACAUCAAAACAAAACAAUGAUCUGAUACAAAAUGACAACGAUGAACAAUGAUGGUUCCACCUCAUCCAUCAAAUUUUCCUCUUCAAUUCAACUCCUGCCAUUUAAAAUUACCUGAAAGUAGCAUACUACGUAUAACAUACCAAGUGGUUUACUAGCAAUCUUUUCUUUUUUUCGAUUCUGUACAUUACUCAGCAAGGUAAUACAAAAUAAUAACAAGUACAUGCUUCAUUCAAGGAUGAAUGACAACAUGCCUCCAGAAAUCGGAGUAUCAACAAAAGAGCAAAGACAGAAGGAUUGAAAUCUAUACCUAAUUGUACGAUGAUACGUAUAACACUAACAAACAGCAUGGUUUAGAAUGAGUCAGAUAACUCGGGGAACUCUGUGAUUGGGAAUUUGCAGAAUAUAGAAUCAAAAAACGCCUUUCCAAAAGAGAUGAAAGCCUGGAAGUUCAUAAAGCAUACCUGGGUGGUUCUGGAGCACGCAUUUACUUCAUAACCUCCCCCUAAUUGUGUAACAAAGCAAGCUCCAAGUAUAGAUAUGAAGUACCCUAUCUCCGUUUUGUAAAUUUAACAUUUUCUGGAUGAUGGAUACAGACCAAGUCUAGACAAAAAUUGGUAAUCCUUAUGGUCAAGUAUAUAUGCACAGCAACAUCACUUGCUGAAAGAAGCUGAGAUUUCCAAUUGAAGAAACCCUACCCUCCAGUUCCAGCAUUGUCGGAUACUACCUUAUCACUUGAAGUAACAGAAUUUGCUUCACUAGAAGUUAGGCCACUUUUCUCACCCUGACCAAGUUCGAAGUUGGAAUCUUGACCAGGGAAAACUUCCGAUUGCAGCGAGGGAGAAAUGUUAUGUACAUGCAACCAUGUGAGUUCCCACAGGCUGUCUCCACCUAACGCACUCCUCUGAACUAGAACCCCCUUAGUUUUCAUAACAAGCAAGUUAUUCUUGAGGAGUUCAGGCACCAACUCCUGAAGCUUCUCGCUUCUUUUUCCUCUAACUUUAGCUUUUGCAUACUUUUCCAUUCUGCUAAGAACACCAAGCCAUAGCUUGCAGAAGGUUGUUAAUUGAGAAAGAUCCUGGAGCAACAAUAAGAACACUUUGAACAAGAGUUUCACGGCAAGGAUCAGUGUUCCUUCCAUGUUUCUGUAAUCUUUCUGAGAGUGUCCUUGUGCAAUUUCUAAUAAAUCAUCAAGCACUGUGAAGAUCACAAGAUCGAAACACUGUAACCACAAAUCAUGUGGAAGGCGGAUUUCAUCAACACCUGCUAAGCACUUUUGCAAUGACAGCAGAGCCUGAUUUCUAACCUCCUCCCUCUGAUCCAAGCAAACUUUUCUCAAACCUUGCACAAGCCUCAGCCACAUGUCUCCAAUAUCUUGCGAAAUUUUAAUAACUUCCUCCUCCCUCACAGCUUCCUUACCCUCCUUAGCCCACCGUCUUAAACAAUCAACAGAUCCAGCCAUAAGAUCCAAAGCACGCAAAGAGCGUUCAACCUGUCCGACACGAGACUCAGCAAAUUGCCUUGAAGCAUCAAUGCAGAGGGUAUAAUUUGCUGGCAACAAGUGAGCACCGUCAGACACAAUGAACAGUAGAGCAUCAAAUCCUGUCUCAGAAGCCUCUGGAUGGCGAGCUGUAAUGGAGAGUAGGGAUGUUAUCGUUCGCCAUCCUGAUGGAGAUCUAAUAUGAGAAGCAUUUGCUUUUACUAGACGACUGACUUCCUGGGUAAUUUGCUCACAGUAGGCAUCAGCUACCCGAGCAUCUAGCUUCAAGACAAGUUGCAGAGAUCUCAAAAGUUCGUCAGCAAGGUUCUCUUUAUAAGGAAGCAACCGCUGGCAGAUCCGGAGAAGUCCAAAAACAGCUUUCUCCACCAGGGCACAGGGCAUGACAGUUGACUGCACAAUGUUAGAUAUAUGAUCAUACACACCAGGCCAAAGAAGUACAAUUCUAUCUCGGUUAUUCAGGGUAAUGGCAAUCAACAAUUCCAGACAGAAGACUGCUGUAUCUUCAUCCUCAGGAGAGCUGUUUCCUUUCUGGGGCCGUCCUGCAGCCCAUAUGAGUGCUUGUGCUAGCUGUAAUAGAGAUUCAGCUUGAAGAAACUUGCUCUCUGUAAAAAUACUGUCAAUAUUGCACUUUUGAAUAGUUUGAAGGGUGCGCUGAUGAGCUGCAAGCUGUUGUUCGGUGGGCUGUGACCUUGGCUCCUCACUGUCAAGAGAUAAGAGCUGACUGAACCGGCCCAUUAAACCAGAGGAUCUCUUGGGAGUUCCAAUCGACUGUAUAUGAGCAACAGAUAACGAACUUGAAAGAGGCUUUCCAUGCCCGGCAUCAGAAGAAAGUUCUGAUUCAUCAGCUGCAUCACUGGCCACACGAGCUGGUAAAAGACCAAGCUUGUGCAAUCGCAAGAUGCAAUCAAGGAUGUUUCUCCAACCUGUGCGAAUGAAGUCACCAUACCUGUUGGCAAUGGUGAAAACAGUCAUAGUAGCCAUCCUGGCUUUUAUAUCGUCACCAAAUGCCAGCACAGGCUCCUCAACAGAUGAUGGGUUCACGAGGGUUGUGAACUUGCAGAGGGACACAACAAGAUCGUCUAGUACAUCUUCAAGGUGAUGGCAUGAGGAGAUCUUUGCAACAGCUAAGAAUCCAUCAAUACACGUUUGAUAGACUUCUUCAUGUUCUGCAUGAUCAAAUACUACAGAUAUAGCAGCAAUCGUUGGCCCUGACAUUAUAGCAAACAUAUCACGAUCAAGGUAGACUUUAGAAUCAGACACGAUGAAUGGAGAUGAUUUCUUAGAUUUAUGCAUCAGAUCUAUCCAUCGGCUUGGAGUCAUUUCAGGAAAACCAUUUCCUUGCUCCGGAGUGGUACGAAUCUCAUUCUUACAGAUUGAGUGAUACAACUCAGAGAGAAAAUCUCUUGGAAGAUCAUUGCCUCCAUUUAUGUGCCUGCUAUUCCGAAUGAAAUCUUCUUCCGUCAUCUUCUUUUUCACUUGAACAUUAUGUUGAUCUGUAUUGAGCAAUAUAAUUGAAUAAGAUAGUAGAAGAGCAGCAUCCUUAUUCACAAGAAUCUGAGGUGACUGUUCAUAAUAUCUCUCAGAGAAUGCCUCAAGCACCCUUUGUAUCUUCUGUGAUUCCCCAGGGAGACGGAAAGUUUCCAAAAACAGCCGCAAAGCAGUAUCCAAAUUCAUGUCCUGAAAAUCAAAAGUCCAAGCAAAUUCAUGAAGAACCUGGACACAAAACUCAUCAUGAUUUCCAAGGAAGUCCCCAACCAAAUUUUUAUCUAAACCAGCAGUGUACCUGAAAAAGCAGGCUACACUUUUGGGAUCAAGUUUAUCAGGUAAGAGAUAGGUUCCUUGAAGGAACUCCAGUCCUUUCUUGGGAUCACGGUUAAAGUGAUCAGCUCCAAUCAUCAAACGUCUCUUAAUGUACUUUUUUCUUCUCACAAAUGGAACCCAUUCAAUAGGAUCACUGAAAUUUUCACACUUUACCAUCCAGAAAGGAGUAUAUUCCUCAAGGUUCACAGGAGUAUUUUCUAGGCCAGUUCCAUUACCUAUCCUCUCAGCCAUUCCCUGUAUAAUGGCAAUAAGACCAUCCAAAGCAAGGAUAUGCAUUGAAGACAAAGGACAAUUAACUGGAAAAGCACUCUUGGACAGGAGAUUCGCGAGAUCUUCAAAGACAUUACUGCAUGUUAUGUCACAAUCUAAGUUUGCAUACAUCUCCACCAUAAAUGUUUUCUGCCUGCAGAAAUCAACAAGAGCCUCCAUGGCAACCUCCUGCUGCUGGUAUGAAGCCCCAUACCUGCUUUGAGCAAGCCUCAAAAUCACACAUGAAAAGAAAGCCUCAAGCUGCAACUUCAGUUCUGUGCGCAGAUGGUGGUAAAGAUUGAGAACAAUGCUACAAACCAUUGAAAGGAUUAGCGAGCUUGUUGACAAACCAAAUUGCAUAAGGUUUCGAAAUAAUUCAUCUUGGAUUAAACUCAAUAGCCUAGGGUGAUGGCGGAAGGAUGGACCACCCAACUCUAUUGCUGAAUUUAUCAAUCUCAAGGCAAAGAGAGGAACAUCUUCAUCAAAAGCCAUGGUAUUUGACCUAGCUCCUAACUCCAUAUGCUCAACUAGAUUUAACAAUGAACAGAGGAAUCGGAAAAUUUCCACCAUGCAGGGAACCCCAUAAGGUUCGUUCAUAAGAUGAAAGUCAAAUGGAACCGUAUCCUUCACACUACCAUCCUCAAGUAAAUUUUCCUCCAUUCCAGUUACCAUCAGACCUGAUGAAGGUUUAGAGUCCAAAUUAGUGGAUGGCGAUUGACCAUCAAAUUCAUGACCCAAGUUGCCAUUCUCCAAAAGUCUGCUUCCAAGCGCAUAGUCAUCAUUAGCCCCCGUGCCAGCCUGAACAAGAGAACAGGUUUCAUACAUUAAUUAAACAAUUUUGGGUUAAUUUUUGCCAAAGAGAAACUUAACAAUUUCAACGUCAAAAUAUAUGAUGUGAGAAACCAAUAUUUUAAGAGCCUAAAAUCAGGCUUUUUAUCUAAAAUAAGUGAGUAGUGAGUAGUAAGCCUCAUUCUAAAUUUAAGAAACUUUAACAAAAACGUAAAAAUUCCCCUUGUAUUGUGGACAAAAAUUAUUAUUUUUAUGUAAUUUUUUUUUAAAAAAGAAAGAACAAAAAGAUGCAUCCAUCAACUUUCACUUUCUUGAAGAAAUAUUCUAAAGCUCAUUCUCAAUAUCAUCAACAACGUGACUAAUAGGAGUACCUUACUAUUUGAACUUUAUCACUUCUUAUACUUUAUUUAUUUUUAUUUAUUUAUUUAUUUAUUUUUGUUGUUGUUGUUGUUUUGGAUAAGAAAUCAUUUCAUUGAUGGAAUGAAAUACCCAAAAAUAUCCAAGAAUACAAAAGGAACCCAAUCAAAGGGUAUACAAAAGGGACCUGAUCACUUUAUUAAUUUAUAUAAUUUAGAAGACCCAAAAUUUCAAAGAAAUUAAGCAAAACAGCUUUUUGAGAUUUUGACUCCACUCAGCCUUGCCAAAAAUGUAAGAGUAAGUGCAUAGCAGCUUCUUUAGGAGACCCAAAAUAUCAAAGAAGCUGUUAUAUGCUUACUUUUUUUGCAAAGCUGAGUGGAGGCGAUGAUCCAACUCAUAGGAAUGGGCAGACAUCUCUCUCCAUCUAAAAAACACUUCUUCUAAUGACAUUAAAUCAGAAUUGUUCACAGAACAUGGGCUUAACAAAGAUCAAAAGACAGUAAGUACAUUCUUUACUAAAUUUCCUUACUUAUGACCUCAGUAAUUGACAUGGAAUCAAGAUGAACUACUUAACGGUUAACACUGAAGAUCCAACAAUGUAAAUCUAUAUUUAUUACCCAUCAAAACUAAAACCAAACUAAGAAACUUGUAAAAUAUGACCAUGGUGCAACAGGUAUCUCAUUCAUAUAAUAAAAAACACAAUCUUGAUAGAUCCCAUUAGGGAAAGAUGAAAAAUAUCCGAUCACUUUAGUGUUCAAGGGAGAUUAAAUUUAAAAUGAAAAAGAUAAAACCUAUAUAUUUCAGACUCAGAGAAAUAUCGUAGGGUAACUACGACUGAAAAGAAAAUACGUAUCAUAAGGUAAGGUAAAACUACCAUACACAAAAUGAUAAAUUUCUUUUUCAUUUUAGCUUCAUUACUCAUCUAACUAUCCUACGGUUUAAAAUGUAGUUAUCGAGAAAUGAAGAGAAUAAAAUGGUUUUAAACAAAAUGCAGAGAAUAAAUCAGUACCUCCUGCUUGCUGGAAGUGUUUCCAUUGACUAGUGCAUGCUCUGUGGUAUUGAUUUCUGAAAGAUGCGAAAAGAUACACCUAACAAGCUCAUGAACUGUGUGGCGAGCUAUUCGUUGCAACAGCUCACCCUUGGUGGCCGCCUGAUGCACUAUGCGAAAACAAGUAUUAACAAUGGUGCAGACAUGCUGAUUGCUCAACAUAAUGGAUACCUUACUCUUCAUACAAGCAAGAAGAACCUGAAGUAUUUUCGUCAGGACCAUUUCUUCUGAUGCAGGAUCCGUUAACUCAAAUCUACAACAGGUAACAGCAUCAACUAUCAAGUGAACAGACUCUCCAGCGUUAAUAGUAUUUUGAUCAAUCAUGUCAAGAGUUAAAAUCUUGUACACAGAAGAUAAAGCAACCCCAGUAAUAGGUGCCCCAGUUUCAUCUGAUCGAAUUACAUCUAAAAAUGGUUGAAGAUACACAGCAGGGUUGAUUGUAUGCCACGGAUGUUGCCAUGAAUAUAUCUGUUUUCUUAAUGACUUCAGUGAUUGAAUUAAAGAGUGCUCCAAUUGAUCAUCACCUGACAUAUAUCGACCUCCCCAUCUUACAUUUCUUCUCAUAACGGCCAAUACAGCACCAAUUUCUGAAUUGAUCAUGCAAGCCAAAGCAGUUUUAUUCAUAUAUGUGAAUGUGACAUCACACUCCUCUUGUUCUUCCUCAAUUGCAUUGAUUCCAGUAUGCAGCUUGGGGCGCCCCAUCUUUGGAUGUAUUCCCUUCACAGUACUAAAGUUUAUCAAGUAGACAAGUACUGUGAGAAGAUUGAGCAGAAACCUAGCUAAAGUGCACAAUCACUGCUUACAUGGAGAAGAAAAACAAAUUUAUUGAAUGAGCUCAAGGAUGAACAGUUGGCAUGAGAACAACUGAAAUUUUCCCAAAGAGAAAAGAUGCACUAUCAUAGUUCCAAAUAGAAAACUCCCAUAAUCAAUUUUAACAAACCAAUGAAAUGUCAGACAACCCUCAAAGCUAAAUUAUACGUUCCACUAACCAAAUGAAUAAUGGUAACUUCAAACCAAAUGAAAGAGAAAAAAAGUCAAUCCUACUCCGAUCACUCCUGGCACAUAGAUACACAAGGAAAUGCGUGAAUACAAAUGGAAAAACAGAAGGAAAUGGAGGACGAAGAUCUAGAAAGCAAUGAAUUACGUGUGAUUGGUAGAGAAGCAAAGGCGGUCAACAUAGAGACAAGAACAAAACAACAAGAGAUCUAGGGAGAGAUUAAAGAGGUUGAUAUGUGGGAUCUGCCAUCCAUGGACCUUGAUGCAAAUGAAAAGGAGAAAUGGGUAGUAAACAAGAAAUGCUGUAUAAAGCAGGAAUUAUGAAAGUGAAGAUGGAUCCAGGGGAAAUGAGAAAUACCUAGAUCAGAAACAAUUCCAAAAGGAAAUGAUGGAGAGGCGGCGUCGGAAUGGGCAGAGCCGGAACGCCGGCGGGUAAAGGGCGGGUAAAGGGCGGGAGUGAGCCGUGAGGGAGGCGACGGCCGGUGAGGAAACAUCGUUUGUUGAUGUUUUGUACGACGGUGGAAAUUAGAAUUACCUACAUCACAAACAUCGUUUCUUUUUUGUACAAUAGUGGAAAGUGAUAUUGCUCAAUAAUAUUAAAUUUUCAUUUUCAUCUACGUUCUUACGUUCUUAAAAAACUACCAAAUAAUUGAGUCCAUGAGAUAAUGGCAUUCUCAUUAUCAAAUUAAUUCUCCUAUGUCAUAAAACAAAAUUGUUUUUAAAAUAGAGUAAAGUUUUACUUAUAACAUUCAUACAUUUAUAGAUGUUUGUAGUUGAAAGUAAAUUUGGGUACGUGUUUAAAUAAUUUUAACAAACCUACUUAAUAUUUCUAUACCUUAAUUGUCAAUUUCCUUUUUGUAAUUGUUUAAAUACAUUUUUAUUUUAGUAAUUACAAAGUGGGCCGUAUUCAUAUGGAGUCACCGAAACAAAAUAUCUAAUCUUAUGUGUAUUAACUUUAGAUUAUUUCUUGAGUAUAGUCUAUUUGUAUCUCAACUACAUAUCGUUCAAUAUUAUAAAAAUCAAUAUUAUAAAAAUGACAUUAAACUUAAUAAUAAUGGAUAUUAUAGUAUUGCUAGUAAUAAUUAUAUAUUGUAUUUAAUAACACUGAUUACAAAGCUUUAGAACACAAAUUAUAACUGUGACAAUUGUUUGAUGUGGCAAAAAAAAUCAUUCCAAUAUGAUUACGAGGUUCAUCCAAACUUGAGCUAAAUAGAACAUUUUAGAAAAAAUAUAAAUUCAAUUCCCAAACUUCGAUGUUUGUAUCUGAUUUAAAUCUCAAAUUAAUAAUUGUUGUAUCAAUUUAAACUAUUUUCGUAAGCUUGUCAACUUAAACCAUGAAUAUUCAUGAUAAUUGUAUGAAUUUAAACUCUUUAUUAUAUUUUAUUUAAAUAAAUUUAAAAAAGUUUGAGGUUUAUACAGAUACAUUUGUGAAAAAAUAUGGUUAAAACUGAUACACAAUUAUUAGUUUAUGCUUUAAAUUGAUGUAACAACGUCCAAAGUCAAAGAUUUAAACUAAUAAAAUUAUAGUAUAGGGUUUAAAUUGAUACAAUCCUCAAAGUUAAUUCACGAAAUAAAUUGAUAUUAGUCGAUGAUUUUAAAAUCAAAUAAACUAAAUAGAAGGCAGAGCACAAACUAUUAGAUUAAACUAUAGAGAUCAAAUUAUUGUGCUCAAUCAAAAUACUAUCGUGUGUAGCCCAAACUUAGCUUUGUGAUAAUUGUAUAUGCACUCCUUUCUUCUCGUGAGUUCGAUCUCCACAUACUUUUAAAAAUGAGCACAAUAUAGAACGAAUUGGUUGGAGAAUAGAAAAUUAUGUCCUAUUAUUCAAUUUAAAAGUGCGACAACCAGCCAAAAUGAUCAACCAUUGUUCACCUUAAGGAAUUAAAUCCAAGAAAGGAAAUAAAUCCCCAUUUGAAAAAAAUUAAAUUACACUUCAAUCAAGAAAAGUGUUAGAUGAAAUAUUACAAGCAGAUAUUUCCAGAUAAAGAAAAUAUUCUACACAAAAAUAAUUUGUUGCAUGAAACUGAUGUUAAGCCUAUAUUUGAGACAACCGUAGAAAUCAAUACCUCAAAUCUUUGACACUAAAAACUGUUCCAGUGCAUCACUUUUUUAAAAUACUAUUUAAAAAUGUUGAGCAGAAUUUAAAUUUCGUCCAAUACUAUUUCUAAUUGAAUGGGAAUGGUGCACAACUUAUUAAAACAUUGUUUUAUAACCAUCUGAUUUUUAAAAAUUAAACUUAUGAACAUCAUUUACAGUUCCAAAUUUCAUCAUUUGUAAAUUUCAUCAUUUGUAAGAAAUGUAAAAGAAAAAGAGUUGAUUUUAAAAAAUCGAAAAACCAAAAAUAAACAGUCACUUAACCAAGUUUAUACUGCCAGUGAUAAAAAAUUCUAAGCCUUUUAAGUUGUGUGAGAUUGGAUGGGAAGAAAAUGAACAAUGAAAACAAAGUUAGAUAUCCAUGAUCUAAGGAAUCGUCUCUGUUGUUCUGAAGAAAAGAGAAAAAGAAGAAAAGGGUAGAAUUAAAUAAUUUAACUAAGAAAAUAGUGAUAAAGCUGAUUUUAUGUUUAACUUUGGUUGGAAAAAAUGAAUCAACUGAAUAUAUAUAAAAAGCAAAAAGAGAGAAAAGGAAGAGAGUGCUUGAAAAGAAAAGAACAAACAUAUCAACUAUUUUACUCCACAUCUUCAAAUCACAAAUUCAACUAUUCAUUAUUACUUUUCUGAGUUUUUCAGUUUUAAUUUCUAAGUUAGAUUAAAAUUCAACAACUCCUUUACUCAACUGAAAAAAGUUGACUAUUUCUCUACAAAAGAUAAUGAGAAACAUAAUAUGAAGUUUAAAGUUGAGAGAGAGAGAGAGAGAAGAGAAAAGAAAAGAAAAGAAAAGAAAAGGAAAACCUUGCAUUGAUAUAAAUCACCAUGUGAUCCCAAAACAUAUAUAUCUUAGUAUUCAUCAUAUAUUAAAAACAUUAUCAAUUUUUGGCACUCCCAAUAUUUCCAAACUCUUGGGAGCAUAUAUACAUACAUAUUCCAAAGGAAGGAAGAAAGAUAACAAACCCAAUUAAAUUUGAAAAAAAAGAAGAAGAAAUAAAUGGAAAAAAACUAAGUAUUAUUACGCUCACGAUCAUAUCAUAGUUAUUAUAUACUUCGUCUUCAAAGUACGUCUCUCUUUCACCUUCUUUUGUCAAACAACCACAGAGUUAGGUCUCUGAGCUUCAGACUCAGCUCGGCCACCUUCAGGCAGCAGAGGGUGCGGUGACGAAGUGAACAGGUCCAGCUUCGGAGAGAGCAGAGAUGAAGAGGUGCACGUUGUCCGCCGUGGAGGCUGUCGAAGGCGGCUUGUAGUCCAAAGAAGGAUCACUGUAGACAUCCCACCAUUUUUUGACGAGCAUUUUUAUGUCUUCUCUCUGCAUGUUCUCUUCUUUUCCUGUGUACCUCCAUGGCUUCGAUCCCUAAUUUUCCAUCAACAACAUUUACUUUAAAUUUGUAGAUUUGCAUUUAUUUAUUUACUAAUAAUGCAAAUAUUAAAUGACAAAUAAUUAAGCAACAAGUUACGUUGUUUCGAACUUUUUUUUCCAUCAAAGAUAUUAUUCUUAUUUUUACAUUUUUGGAUAUUAAUUAAGGUAACCAAAAUUCUUUUUCUUUUUUUUCCUUUUUAAGAAAACACAUUUUUUAAGUAUAGAAAUUCAAAAAGAUAACUACCAUAAUUACUUAAACUUCAAAGUUACAAAUUUUUUUUCAAAUACCUUCAGGAAUGGAAUAAAUAAUAAAUUCUCAAUAGUAUAGCCAUUCUAAUUUCAAACUAGAAUUUUAACAAAAAAAAAAAUGUAUUGUAGAUAGCAAAAGACUCCAACUUAUUGUAAAUUACAAGUAAACUACUAUAGACAUGAAUAGAUAUUGUUAUUUUUUAUUUAAAGAUAAUUGACUAUAUUUUUUGUAAAUAAUAUUUACUCUGUUUGUCAUUUAGAAAGUUACAAUUAAAUUAAAAAAGUAAAUAAGUCAGUUCAAAGGAAUUACCGCGGCACAAUAAUGAACCACUUUGACGCGAUUAAGAUCGACAUUCUCUGGGUGACGCCAAAGCAUGGCUAGUACCAAGUUGAACUCCGAGGAGAUGGGCUUGUAGACAUCCCUGAAGUACAUAUUCAAAAAAUCCUAAAAAAACAACAAACAAAAAGCAGAGUGUUAAAAUAUUAAUUAACACUAAAACCAAAAGCUUAAAUUAAUUAUAGAAGGAUGAACAAGCAAAACUACCUGCUCGGCAAAUGGAGUAGGAGGAGUGACUUCAAGAGUGUUCAAUAGAUCAUGAUAUGUAUGAACAUUCGGCUCGAAAACAAACAUGCCGGCAUUGAAGUAGAGUGGGGGAGGGGGGAGACCGAGAUCAUCGUCGGGCCACUGAACCUUGUCGGGGCAUUGCUGACAGUAACCAAUGCGAUACUGAGGAGUGUGGCUCCAUGUCUUCUCACAAAAGCAGUCCAUAACCGCGUAGAAAUAGCCAUUUGGUAAUUCCAAUAACUCGUCUAUGUUCUCGUAAACUUGAAUGUCUCCAUCUAAAUACACCAUUUUAUUGUAUUCCACGAACUGUUUUGGAUUAAAACGACAGCGUUUAGUUUAAGACAAAACGACAAACUAUAUAAUAUACAUGAUGCAAAAACAAGUAAAGGAUAUUAAGUGCUUUUGAUUCCUAGGGAAACACUUUUUCAAACUUCGUUUCUUUGGCUUUAUAAUUAUUUGAAGAAUCUUCUAACUUUUAAGAGCUUGUGUAAUUAAAAUAAUCUUUAUUUAAAAUAAAACUUAAAUCAAGAGACAGAUUGACCUGACUUUGACAUCCAAAUCCAAAUGUUAAUCAAGAGUGCUCGUGAGUGAAUCUAAACACUCAAACAUACAAGAAAAACUGCUUAAUUAUAAGAAAAUAUUGUGAUAAAUUUUGAGUGGUUCAUAAAUCCCUCCACCUUUAUUCUAAAGAGUAAUUUCACCAUAUAAAAAUUUGGAGCUUUACAAAUAUAUGAAUUCAUAAAUCUAAAUAUACCAAAAUUUAGAUCAACCUGUAAGAGUAAAUUAAAUAGACUAUAUCAUUGAAGUUUAUCACCAUUUUUUAACAUUUAGAAUUCUUGAAAAUAAUAUUACUAAACUCUUAAUAUCCUAAAUUUCCUUUUGUCACAGAUGAACUUUUAAAAUUUUCACAUAUUGCACAGAAAAAUUAAGAUUUUGACACAUCCCCGUACGAUCAAGCAUGCACUAAAAUUAAAUGAAACAAAAUUAAAAUUCUAAUCUUAUUAAAAAUUAAUUAAAUCUUGUAAAUUUAAGAUUAUAAACAUGACUAUUAUUUUGGGUAAAAACAAGAAGAUAAAAAAAAAAGAUGAAACGCAUACAAAAAGAGAAAUAUAAAAAAGAAAAGGAAACAAACCUCCCAAAUACGAAGCUUAGAAUAAUUGAUAACAUAAUAAGCCAUAGCGAACCGGGUCUGGUUCUCAGGCGGGUAAACCGGUUCAAUCUCCUUAACAAUACAUCCCUGAGACUCCAGAACCCGCCUGUGCUCCUCAGGGACGUCUGGCAACACGGCCACGACCAAGGGGUACGCGGAUUUCACCUUUCGGAGGCCCUUGGCCAGUCCGACGACGCCCUUCACAUAGUCGCCGUCGCCGGCCAAGAACGUCACGUACGCUCGCUGUGGGAGGUGCCGUCCACCGGGAGGCUUAAUCACCGGAGCUGCUGCAGUGUGGACGAGUUCGGGCGCCAUUUUGGAAAGACUAAGAGAAGGAAAUGCUGGAGGAAGAGAGAGAGUAGAAAGAGGAAGAGCGAUGAUUGGGCGUUUUGGCGGUGGUGGAAAGCUGUGGUUGGGGGGACGUUUAAAUAAGAGUCCGAUGAAGGGAGAUUUAAAGGGGGGAAUUGAGGAGGAAGAUGGGUUGGAUGAGUUACACGUGGAAUGAAGAUUAAUCGAACGGUAUAGAGGAGGAGAUAAGGAAGAUUCGGGAAGAGGCCAGUGGGAGCAAUGGCGAAGAAGACACUAGAAAUUAGAGUGUAGAAUCUGGAGUUUGGGUAAAUUAGAUUUAAAGUUUUCAUUAGCAUGGGGAUGGUAGAUUUGCUGUCCAAUUCUCUACCGUUCAUUCAAAAAAAAAUUACAUCGAUUAAUUGCUUGUGUUGAUACUAAUCUAAUUAUGAAAACAGGAAAAUUUAGUAUUGUAUGGGAGUAGAAGUAACAAUUUAGGUAGUUCUUUGGUAUCCAUCUAAUUUCUUUUUUUAGUUUUUAAAAAUUGCGAUUACUUUUCCUCCAUUUUUAAAAAUAAUUUGCAUAAAUAAAAAACCUGUUAAAUUUCGAAAACAAUAUUUUAUAAUUGUUUUUGUUAGUUUUAAAAAUUUAGUUUGGUUUUUAAAAUAUUGGUAAAAUACACACACGAAAAAAUAAAUUAAGGAGAAGGAAAUGUGGUUUAUAGCCUUUAAUUUUUAAAACUAAAAAUCAAACAAGACCUUAGUUUAUUUAUAAUAAUUUAGAAUUUUAUUUUAGGUGAAAAAUCUCAUUAAUUAACUGUCAAUUUUAAUUAUGUAAUAUUUAUAAUUUGUAAACAAAUUUGUAUGGAAUUUGAUUAGAUCUUAAUUAAAAAUAUAUUACACGGUAGCUUAUGACAUAAUUUUGACUAAUCCUUACAAAAUGUAAAGCAAAAUGACACAAUUUAUUCUCAAUAAAGUUUAAAGAUCAAAUUUUAUUAUAAAUUUAGUGUAAAUUAAAUUGUUACAAAUUAAUUAACUUCUAACAACUUACAUAAAUAACCCUAGGAAUAAUCAAACUGACUUUUUCUUACUUAAAAUAUUCUAGUGCUUAAAAAGCUUUUUAUUUUAUUUUUAUUUUAUGCCAAGUACUUAAAAUUUAAAAUGACAUUUUGGACCUUCAAUUUUUUUAUAAAAAAAUAUUUAUUGUGGUCUAAAUUUUAAUAUAAACUUUGGAACAUUUUAACAUUAUAAUAAUGAAAUUUAAUAUUAUCUAAUUUUAUUUCAAACAAAUAUUACUUAAUGCAAUAAGUCCAAUUUAUUCAAACACGUAAUCUAGAUCAACUACAUUAAUUGUACUAUUCUUUUAAUUGUAAUUGAAUAUAUAGAUUUAAUAGCAUCGACUAGUCAAAGUACAAUUAGCCCAGGAAAAAAUGUGGUGUACUUUCAUUGAAGUUAUAAACUCAAUCUCUCAUAUACAAUGAUUGUAAAAACAACAUUGAACACAUUACACAUUCAGGUAAUCAAAUCAUAAUAAAUUUUAAAGUAUCCAUAUGUUUUUUUAAUAUUUUAAAGAAAAAGAAAGUAAAAUAAUUGAAUGUCUAAAGAUAAAAAGAGAGCUUAAGAAAAGGUCAAGUUUGGGAUUUUGUGACGAAAUUGGCAAACGUUUAGAAAUGAAUUUCUUAAAGGGAAACAAAGAGAAGUUAUUAAUUGAUGGAUUUUAUAUUUAAAAGUAAGAAAUAGAAUACCAAAUUAAAAGUAAAAGUGGUCUUCAAACAAGCGCUUUAACUAAAAUGAUUCCUAAAUCAUAUAACAAUACCAAAUUAAAAUUACUUUUUUUUUCUUUUAGAAUAAUUUAAAACUACUUUAUUACCACUUGGUGGUUGAUUGAUUUGUCAAGAUUGUGCUUGGAAAUUACCUUUUCCAAUAGAAAUAUUACCUAACAUACAAAUUUUAAAGAUAAUGAUAAUGAUAGAUAUGUCAAUAAUUUAGGAUUUUUAAUUUGAAAAGGAAAACAAAACUUUGAGGUUUAAAUAUGUGUUGACUAGUUGGGCUAUCCUAAGUUGACAUUUAUUUUUUAGUUCUUAAAAUUUCCAAAAUGAACUGUCUUUUAUUUUAUUUAUUUCAAUUUAUUUACUUUCAAAGUCUCGAUUGAAUUGAAUUUCAAGAUUAAAUAAUUAGUAAAAAAAAAAAGAGGAGUCUAAAUUAAAGGAUUGGAAGAGGAGAAGAGGGGAGAUAAAAUUUAACAUAACUUAACUUAAAAAUAAAAAUAAAUAUUACGUAAAAAUGAUAUACAACAACCUAACAAUAGAACUCAACUAAUUUGUUUACGCCCUAAAUGACGAGGGAGAUUCAAAUAAAAGAAACCAUGAGAGAUGAAAAACACAAACAAUAAUAAAAAGAAAAAUAAAAGUAAAACGAUGAAAUUUAUAGAGAAAAAUUUGAAAUCAAAAUUUCUCUUUUGUUUUACAUUUUAUUUAUGUUUGUUAAUGCAAAAAAAUAUAAUGAGUUAAUUGUUGUUGUUCAUUACCAAAAAGAAAGGAAAAAAUUCUACAAAAACAAAAGAAAAAUACAGUCCAUAUUUUAUUCAAGAUAACUUUUAGAAUAAUUGUCCAUAGGUAUGCUUAUAAGAUGAAAAGAAGUAAAAUAGAUUUUUUUAAUAGUAAAUUUUAGUUUUAAAUUAGAAAAAGAUUAAUUAUAAUGUUUGAUAAUGUAAUAAUAAAUCAACUGAAAAGAAGUAAAAUAAUUUUUUUAGUAAUUUUAAAAUAAUGGUUGGUGGUUGUGCCUUUUUAAAAAUCAGUUAAGAAAAGAAGUAAAAUACUUUUUUAGUAGAUUUUAAUUUUAAAUGAUAAAAAACUAGUUCCAUUGUUUGAUAAACUAAUAAUAAAGGGGUGUAAUUUGGUUAUAUUGAACAAGAUAGACUUAUUAUUCCAAUUAUUUUCAUAUUGAUAAUUAAUGUAUAAUUUAUUGUAAUCUUAUAGGAUUUGAAUCUCGUUAUAUGUGUUUACUAAAAAUUAUUUUAUAAAAUUUUCAAAAUAUAAUUAUUAUCAAAUAAAUUAAAUAUAUUAAACUUAAAAAUAGAUUAAUAGAUGAAUUAUUGACUUAAAGUCAACUGGCAGCUAUGUAAUUAAAAUUAAAAUUUAGAAAGUGAUUAUAAUAUAUUUAAAAAUAAUUAGUUUUACCAAACUAAGUAGGUUAUGAUUUUCUUGUUUAUCACAUUUUAGAAUUGCAAUUCCAAACAUGGUUUUAGUUUAGGUUAAUUUAUAACUUAAAUAUAAAGUGAGCUAGAAUAAUAAACUCCUCCAACUCCAACUAUAGCCAGUUGAUAUGUCUUGCUCUCUAGUAAUAUUUGAAAUGUAAUUAGAUUAUAUGAUAUUAAAUUUGUCACAAGUGAAAGAAGUGUUGGAUGAUAUAAUGUUAGCUAAAUAUACUUUUAUCUUGAGCUUUUAGGUCAAUUGGUGAUGUGAUAUAAGAUCAUAAUACAUUUCAUUAUUUUUUGUAUUGUUUACUUGUGUUUGCAUUUCUAUUUAUAUUUGGAGUUCUGAAACGAAUGAAAAAUAAAAAAUAAACUGAUAGAUAAGAAUUACAUUUUCAAAUUAUGUCGUAAAUUGUUAUUGUUUGUGUCACAAUUACUAUUAUUGUUAUUGGUCCACGUGAAAAUUAUGAAUUUUCUUAGUAAAAAUUAAAAUUUAGGUAGCACAAAAAAAAGGUUAAAAUUUAGGGACAGUGUUUUGUUGUAGGAUGGGAUUUGAAUAUUUGAUUGAACAGGAGGAAGGUAGCCACGUGGCGAGUAUAUUUAGUGGUUCAGGUUAGCCACGUCAUGGAAGUGUCAGUUAUAACGUUAAGAACACGUGGCAGAUGUAGGGGGUAUGGCCCAUCAUUCUUCCUCCAUCUGUCCCAAGGUUUCCUUAUGGGAAAAUUACUGUUUUGGACGUGUCUUCAACUUUCUCACAACUCCCUAAAUCUUAAGAUAUUUGUAUUACUAUUAUUGUUAUUCUUUUAUUUUCUAUUAAUUUAAAUCUCAUUUUUGUCCAGCAUUAACAAAACUUUAAACUUUGUCCAUAUUGUUUUUCUCACUACUUUAUUCCAAUGGACAAUUAAUUCCAUUCCAAAUUAAAAUAUGUGUAUACAAAUGUCCUUUUUUGUUUUUUUCAAGUUGGGACACUAAAUUAAUUAGACACCAGAUGGAAAAGAAAAAAAAAGGAGAGACUUAAAACCAAAUUGAUCUACUAUUUAGAUAAGUGAGAAUAUUUUUGGAAAAAAAAUAUGUUUAAGGGUAUCUAUCAAACUUUUCAAUAGCUUAGAGAUACUUUUGAAACUAAACUUUAAUGGUUUCCAUCCAAAACUAAUUAUAGCAGUACUUUUUAAAAAUAUUUUUUCUUAAAGUUUACGACACUUUUUAUACUUUUGAAAGUUUAGAGAUAUUUUUUUACAUAAAGUUCAAAGUUAAUGGGCAUAUUUUUUUUAAAAAAAAAACUAGGGUGUUCAAAUCAUUUAACAUAAAACAAACCAUAAAACUCGUUUGCUUGUUGGACUUGAGUUUGGGUCCAUUUGCUUGUUGGGCUUGAGCCUAUUUACUUGUUGGACUUGGGCCUAAACUUAUUUACUUAUUGAACUUGAAUUGGGUUGGAUUGAGUAAACUUAACAUAUAACUGUAAAAAUGGCAAAAUAAUGUAGUACAAUUUGAAAAAUAGCAAAUUUUAAAAAUAAUUUGAUUUUUAGCAAAAUCGCAUAACGUAGAUUUUUUUUUGCAAAUUUUCAAUCGGUUUUACCCUUUGAUAGUUUGCAACUCAUUUUUUUCAAUUAUAGUAUAUAUGUGCAGCGUAAAGUAAUAGAAUAUAAUACAUACAGUGUAUUUGCAUAUCAUUCAAUUUUAUAAUAAUAUUAAAUAGAUAUUUAUGUUUCAAAUUGAUCUCAUUUAACGAAUAUAGGCUAGAUUCAUGUCUUCAAUUUAUACAGAUUAUCGAAUUUGUACACUUAACAAAUUAUUUUUAAUAAUAUAUAUUUAUUUCACACUAUUUAAUUCACACCAUAAAAUCAUUGAUAAUAUUAUUCCUUCAAGAUACGUUUCAUAACUUUUGCUUAAUUAGGCCAAAUAUUAUAUUUGCAAACUACAAUCAGUUUGGAAAAAUAUUAACUAUGAUAUUUUAAGGAUUGGCAAGAUUUCCUCAAUAUCCUCUAAAUAUAUGCCUAUAAUUCAUAAUAAUUUUUUGGAUUUUUAGUAUUUCAAUCAAAAUUAUUAACAUUUAUUUAUUUAAUUCAUAAAAAAAUGUUUAAUAAAGAUUCUCCUAAAAAAUUGCUAAAAUAUUUUCAAUCGUUCCUUACUUAUUAGAUUUCAUAAUAUUUUCAAUUACUUAUUAGAUUUCAUAAUAUUUUGAAUUCAAUCAUCAUGAAAUCUAAUCCCUAAAACAAUCACAAUCACUUACUCUAUAUUUUUUUAUGAUUUAUAUUUCAAAUUAUUUUAAAAAGAUUAUUAGAGAAGAAAUAGUACGUAUGGUUAAUAUAAAAAAUGGUUAUGAGAAUUUCAACCAUUCCUCAGCCAUUAUAUUUCCAAUCGUGCUAAUUAUGAUUAUACAUUUAUUUUGGUUGAUUUUUAUUAAAAAAAAUUUAAUUUAUUGUGCCUCUUGUAUCGAAUAAUUAUUUUUUCACCUUUUGUUUUUUAAUUACUUUAAUAUUUAUAUUUAUUUUAAUUAGACAUUUUAUUUUGUUUGUGGCGUUUUAUUUCCAAUCAUCCUUGUUGUGCAUAUCUGAAUCAAGGAGUAUAAUAUGUGUUUAUACCUUUUUAUGUAGGAUAAUAUAUGUUUUACAGAUACAGUGCAUUUGCAUGAUACAAAAUAAUGAGACCAAAUACCAUACGGAUACAAUGUAUUUGCAAACUCCAACCAGUUUUGAAAAAUAUGAAUUAUUUUAUGAUAUUUUUGGGAUCGGCAAGAUUUUCCGAAUAUUUCCUAAAUAUAUGCGUAUAAUUCAUAACCAAUUUUUAGAUUUUUAAUAUUUAAAUCAAAUUAGUUAACAUUUAUUUAUUUAAUUCAUAAAAGUUAUGUUUAAUAAAUAUUUUUCCUAAAAGAUUGGGAAAUUUUCAACCAUUUCUCAAUCUAAUCCCUCAAAUAAUAGCAAUCAUCGAUUUGAAUUUGUUAUAUUUUAAACAAUUUAUUAUAUACAAUAUUUUCAAUGUGUUAUAUUUUAAACCAUUUACUAAAUUAGACAUAAGAUAUAUUUUUAAUAACAAAUUUGGAUUUUAAUAUAUAUUUUUAAUAACAAUUUGAAUUUAAAAUUUAUAAUUUAAUUAUGCUUCAAGGGCAUUUUUGUAAUGAUUUGAAUCUUCAUAUUUUAGGUUUUAUGAGAGAAAAUAAAAGAAGGUGAUUGAGAGAGGAGACAGCCGACCAGAGACAAAUACAAUGAGAGAGAAAUUUGUUCUUGCAAAAAAGAGAGGAGAAGAGCUCAAAUGAAUUUUGAAUGUAUGAAAAACUUGAAUAACUCACCGAUGUAUACAAGUUUUGAAUUCUAUGGUAUAAUUUCAUGAUUUUAUCUUUAUUAUAAUAUCAAUAAUGCUCCCCUUUUGAAUUAUUUGAUAAGUUUGGUUUGAAAUGGUUUUCGAACUUUCUUUAAAGUUUCGAAUGAAAGAAGAAAGUAAAUUUCUGGUCGUUCCCUAAUAAAAGUUGGAACGCUGAUAGAGUCACCCCUGCAAACAAUUACAAAAGGAAAAGAAGAAGAAGCUUUUACCUCUCGCUUCUGAAAAAAUAAAAUAAAAAAGGACAAAAGAAAAAAGACAAUAAAAAGUAAAAAAAGACAAAAGAAAACCAAAAAGAGGAAGAGGGAAUAGAGGUUUUUCAUACGUUUAUUUUGCUGAUGAGUAAUAAAUGAUCAAGGUUUGAUGUAUUUAUAAGGCUAUUUAAUCCUAUUCCUAAAAUAGUUAGGAAUGAUUUUUAAUUUUUUUUAAUAAUAAAAAAAAUAAUCUAGUUAUUUUAUCUUAUUUUAAUUAUAUUCAAUAUUUAAAAUAGAAAAGAUAAUUAAAUUAUCUUAUCUUAUUUUAAAUUACUUUAUUUUGGGAUAAAUCUCCAAUUUAAUUUAUUAAGAUAACUAAAAUAUUUAAAUAUUUCAACAUUAAAAUAAAAAUAUAUCUUAUUUCUAAUUGCAAAAUUAAAAUUUAGGUUGAAAAUGGAAGUCAAAUUAAAUUGCCCAUAACCUCCUUUUUAUCUCAAAUUUAAAUUGGAGUCAUAAAUCCAACUUUAUUAUCUCAAGAUUGAGGAUCUCUUUUUUACUUUUAAUCUCUCAAGACAAAUUAGAGUACGAUACUCUUUCUUAUUUUAAAUUAAAGUUUUGAUUAUGUUCCAAAAUUUUAUUAUUUUUAAAAAAAACCAAUUAAAUUUAAAAUUUUAUCCUCAAAUCAAAUUGAAUUGCCGUAAAAUCUUGAACUUUUCUCAAAUUAAUUAAGGUUGGGUCAUAUUCCAACCCUUAUUUAUUUUUCAAGAUUCAUUCACAGCAUAAAUCUCGAAAAUGAGAAAUAAUUUUUUUUAAACUAAUCAUAAAUUGUCACAUCAUUUACUAACUUAAUAAUGAAAAAUACAAAUGAUUAAAUAAUGAAAAGUACAAAUAAUUAAAUGUGAGACUAAUGAUAUGUGUGUGAAUUAACCAAUUAUGAUAAUAUCACAUGUUUUCAUCGUAACCGUUGGAUCAAAUUAAUUAUUUUGGUUUAAUUAAUAUUAUUAACUUAAGCUCAAUUCAAUUGAACCCAAAAUAAACUUAAUUGAACUUAAAUUCUAAAUAUGACCAAAAUUCAGGUGGAGGUUGAUUCUAACGCUAAACUCAAACUCAUUAAACCAUAACUUUAUAAAUAAAGGUGUUUUCAUUUAUCUCAAAUUUCUCCAACCCUAGUUUAGCAUUCAUUCUCAAAUUUCCCCAACUCAAGUUUAAUUUCACUCAUCAAAUUAUAUAUGGUGUUAUAAAUAAAAGUUGAAGAAGGUAAGGAGUCAAUUGAGGGUUUUAAUUUGAAUUAAUACUAACUUUAAAGUAAUUGACAAUUAAAUCUGUAGACUAAUGAUCUAUAUUUGCUUACUCUAUAUUUUCCUUCUACACAAAGGACAAGAAAGUUUUGUUCGAACCCAAGUGAGUAUACAGCAUCUAUGAUAGACAUGGCCGCACUUGAUUCUACAAACCUUCUUCUUCUCCCCUCCAUUCAGUUCUUCGCAACAAAUACAACAAUCUCCCAACUCUUCUCCCUCAAACAACCCAUCAUCUUUCUCGCUGAUCGUCAACCUCUCAAUCGCCUUCUCCUGCGCCCUUCUCCUCGCCGGAUCUUCUUCCAGAAUCACCGUUUCCUCCCCCAUAACACGGCGCCUAAUUAGAUGGAGGAUAUUGUACGGAAGUUCGUCGGAUGGAAGUGGAAGCCUCGAUGGGUUUCGGUUUUGGAGAGAUUGAUCGUGCCUGACGUUGUGGCGGCGGAGAGUGAAGCGUAUGGAGGAAGACAUUGUGGGAAUUAAGACGAAGAGAACUAAGAAGUUAUGGAUUUAAUUAGAUUUAUAAUGGAAGAAUGGUAAUCAAGUUCCGAUUAGGAAAUUGUUUAGUUUAUGGAAUUAUUAUUAUUUUGUUGGGUAUGUGUUUUUGUUCCUUUUCGCUUUCUUCUACUUUUAUCAGUUUCUUUAUUGAAACUACUUUUUUUAAUUAUUUUCCUUUUUUGAAAAGGAAGAUUAUUAUUAUUUCUAUAUAAAUAAAAAAAAUCAACUAAUGAAAUCCUUUUUUUUUUUUUUAAUAUUAUAGCAUUUUUAAUUGUAAAAAUAAAAUAUGGAAAGUUUUUUCCGUUGUCGAAUAUUUUCCUUUUUCUUUCCCCUUAAUUAUGAUAGAUAAUAUAUAAUUAAAAAAUAACUAAAUUUAAGGCUAUAUAUUUAAUGUUGUGUUUAUCAAAAAUAAAAAAGAAGAAGUAAUGUCGUGGCCUAUUUUUUCUCUUUUAAACAGAGUUAUCUAUUCAAGAUAUUGAUUAUAAAAUAUAAACUUUGUUGAUAAACAUAUAAUUAAAAGUGUUACUUUGCUUGCCUGAAUUUACUAAUUUGUUCCUAGAAAUCAAGCACGAUACUCGAGAUUCUAUACUUUAUGUUUUAUCUAUUUUUUAUAAUAAAUAAUUGAUCUUUGGAUAUUUGAUACUAGAUAUUUGGUGUUUAAUGCUCAAUAUUUGAUUAUCUACACUUUAUUUAUGUUAUAUGCUUUCAACUGGAUCUCAAUAAGAAAGAAAGAAAAAGAAAGUAGAAAUGUAGAAAGAAGACUAUAGAAUAAAUCCACAAAAAAUACAAGAGAAAAAAAAAAAAAUAAUUUUAUGAAUUAGUCAAAUUAUUAGUUUUUUACAGAGUUUAAACACCACUGACCAUUAAAUUUACAAAAAUAACACCAUCUCUCUUCCGUCAUUCAAAGAAAACCUCUUCUCCAACCUUCUCUCGCAUGGCGGUUUUCCGUAACCGUGUUCAAUUCACCAACGUAUUUUCGCCUAAUCCUCUCAAGAAUUCCCGCUAAGCCUACCUCUGCCGCUGCCGCCGCCGUCCGGUUCGAUUUCCGAUCUCAUUCGACGUCCCAAGUAGAACAGCGCUGUUGUGCAGAGUAUGGCGCAUAGUCGUCCCCACAGCAUCACAAUCGCCACAAUAACAACCAUAAUCACCCGAUCGAAAUUCUUGACCGGAUAAUACGUAGGCAACUUCGGGGUCGGUUUAUUACCGUCUGAAAACGCCGGGGAGGUGGUUGCGACGGCGGCAGGGAGAUGACCAGAGACUGGUUUUUUAAAAUAUUUCUGGCGGGUCAAUUGCUGAGAAGGAAGAGAUACGGAGUGCAACAACGCGGCUGUUUUUCUCGUCGGCGAGAGUUUCUUCGUCGUGAAAUUUGACUGAGUUGAAUGGGGCUUCUUCCGAGUUUGACUCGGCUUUAGUGACGAAUCCACAACGAUCUCACCUCCGACCUGUGGCGCUUUCGGCAUAAUGAACGACAGUGGAGGCGAUUUCUUGAACUCCGGCAAAAAAGAGAGCUCAUCAUGAGAUGGAUCGGCGACGUCGACCGGAACAGUUGCAGAGGAUUUCUUGAAUCGGAAAGUACGCGACGAAGUCCGGCGGAUGCGUGGGGCGAUCGAAGAAGCCUUUUUCGUAGGAAGUUUGGAGGAAGAUCGGAAGCAACUGAAGAGGAAAUGGAGUGGGGAUUUGGAGGGAGGUAUAUUUUCUGAAGAAUCCGCCAUGGAGGAGCAAAAAUGAAGCAGAGGAGAAUGAGAACGGCAUUUGGAGGAGGAAGAAGCGUUGAAGCGAGUUUUAAAUGGAAUUUGAGUGAAUAACCCAGAAUCCAAAAAAAUAAUAUUUUUAUUUUUUAAAUAAAUAAAUGAAAGACCCUUUACCCAAUUUAUUUUGUUAAGUAGUAACAAUUUUAAAAGUUGAUAAUUUUCAUUAUAAUACAUCUAUAAUUUUAAAAGUUGAUAAUGGGAGGGUUCUGAUCUAUAUAUAAUAUUUUGUUAAUUAUUUGUCACUGUUUUAUUCACAGUAUAAAAAAUCGUAAUAUGCGCUAUUUCUUAUUUAACGUUUUUGUACCAAUUUCCUAUAUAUAAAUAUUAAUGCUUCACUCUAAUUUUUAAAUAGUUUUAAGUUAUCGAUGGAAAUAUUCCUAAAAUUGUGUUAAAUUUUAAAAUUAUUUCAUAUCCUCAAUUUUCCAUGUCCA